GGGCAUUAUUGUAGUAGUAGUUGUUGUUGUUGUCGUCUGUCGUCGUAGCCGGCGCGAAUUGCUCCUGGCCAUGGCCUUCGAAUCUCCUAGUGAGCUCGGUAUUGGGACGGACGUUAUUGUAGUAGUAGUUGUUGUUGUUGUUGUCUGUUGUCGUAGCCGGCGUGAAUUGCUCCUGGCCAUGGCGAUAGAGACCAUAGCCACUACCGCUCAGGCUCUGGAGUGGAGGAAGAGUCGAAGGAUCUUCCAUUUUGACGGCAGGGGUCUCUUCGGGGAUGGGAGUGGCUUCCUUGGGGUCCUCGGGGCGUGUGGUCUUCAUGAAGAAUCGGCUUUCUCUAGCAUGGAUUUGGAACGAAGAGGAGGCAAGGAAGAGGAGGAAGACGAGGGAGAGUUGGUGGAGAAGGGAAGCCAUGAGUGCUAUGGAGAGGGAGAGGUGGUAGCUAGUGAUGGAUAUGAGUGGGUCUGGCACCACUCCUAUAUAUAUAUAUAUAAGGGGGGAUUUACCUGAAACAUAAAGGAGAAACAUGUACGAAGGGUGUCGUACGUGUUCAGCUUUACGUCUUGUCGCCGUGAAAUGAGAUGGCCGGGUGAUGAUGCGGGGAUUGUGGGACUGUGGGGCAAAAAUGAUGACAUUUUCAGCACGCUGCAUGUGCUCUCAUGGGACAUCCUCAACAAAAAGUCUUUGCAUUGGGGUACAAAAGACGAUGGACAGAGGGGUGCGUUCGUAUCAGCACUAAUGCAUCGAAUUUUAUCAGAACUUUAUAAUUAAGCAUGCUUGGGGUUUCUNNNNNNNNNNNNNNNNNNNNNNNNNNNNNNNNNNNNNNNNNNNNNNNNNNNNNNNNNNNNNNNNNNNAUUUUUAUUAAAAAAAUAAAAAUAAAAUAAAAUAAAAGAUGGACAAACCAUGCAUAUAGCCAUCUGUCUUUUAAUGACGAUAAUCAAGCAUUAUAUAGCACUCUAUCGUGCAAACCAUGCACUGCAGAAUAUUUUAGAAGAGUUGGGAGCUUUCGAACUAAAUCUGACCUAAAGUUUAAUUCAGCUGGAAACAAGAUUAUAACCAAAGCGGUGUAUUUGUGGUUGACAAAAUGCUAAGUAGGUGCCUCUGAUUUUUGACCUAUGUUUCUAUUCCUCUGUUUACAUUAGCACCGUGACUAGCGGAGGGUGGUUGGGCAUUGAAACUGGGUCGCAGCAAGGGAGCCCAUGGCAUCUUCUUUCCUUUAAAGUGGCGAGGAAGACAUUAUUAUUAUAGCUAUUAUUAUCGGAGUGGAAGACACAUGCAGCGGCAAUCACGUACCUUAGAGGUCCUGGAGAGGUGGCAAGGAAUUCUCUUGUCAGGGAGUGCUCGUAUGCCUUCGUCAUGAUAAACGAAGAUGGCAUAUAUAUAUAGUGGAGUAUUAGUCUUCAAAUGGAGUGCUAGCUGCAUUAAAGAAACAAAGCCACACCAUUUUGCAGGACAAUCGAACAAACCUUAUAAUAACACUUUUGAUGGACAUCUUGCUGUAUAUCCAGAUCCAUGUUUUGAUGGUAAACGUCCAUUCAUCAAAAAUUUCAUUCUGCCAGUCCCAGAGGCUUCAUGAGCUGCUGUACUGCAUGCAAAUAAGAACGAUAAAUGAUCUAUUAAAAAACUGUGGAAAAAAGCAGAACAGUGAAACUAAUAUACUGCUAAAUUACAGAAUUUUAAUUCUACCAUGUUUAGAAUUUUAAUAUAUAGGGCUAAGCCAUCACUGAUCAACCUAUUUAUUUUGCAGCAGUGCAGGGAGAAGUUUAAAUAUGAAACUUCCUUUGAAAACUUCCACUUAAAUAUUAUAGUAUGACCCUUGUUGGAAACUUGCAUGUCACGAGCUCACCACUCGCUCCAGGUUCCAGCCUUGGGGAUCGUCUCGUCCUCUCCACGGCGAGGCCGACCUGCGGAUUAGUUGGUUUGGCCGCGAUCGCAUCAAAAUUUGAUGGGUUCUAGAGACAACAAAUGCAACCCGAUGGUGGGAGGGGUCAUGAAUUUAGAGCCGAGCUUUGUGUCUAAAUUAUAUUUAAUUUUAUUUAAGCCUUAAGCCGAAUUUUUUUAAAAUUUGAUAUUUUCUAUGCCUAAAUUUGAUGGUUUGCAUGGCACCACAAAAAUUUUAGGAACAGAACCUGGGGUCUCGAAAGAUUGAUUGAUCUUCUUUCAUGACAUUGGCCGUUGGAUGGCACUUCGUAUAGUUCUCAAUGCACGCUAAACUUCUUCAUCUGCUUGCAUAGAUUUUGAAGCAACUAUAUUGCGAGAUCUAAUGGUGGAUUGAUGCAAAGGGAGGUGAGGCCUGUUUGCUUUGGAUUCCCAGCUCAUGUUAACCUGCUGUGUGAAUCUUCGUGGAUCCAGAUUAGGUAGAUCUAAAUUCUAAAUUAGCGUGCAUGGGGUUGAAAUUAUAGGCUACUAAUAGGAGGUUGAUAGCUCUUGGUAAUAGUGACCUAAUUUUUGGAUUUGGAAAGACCUAGGUUUUGGAAAAAGAUGGGUUCCCAUAGGCUUAAAUUAGGUUCUCUAGGGCCAGCGACAAGCCUAGCCUUGUCUCAUGGAAGAAAUUUCUGGAUAAAAUGUUGAAAUAAAAUGAACCUCCCUGUAAGCAAAAGUUUUUAUAAAGGUUGUCAUGAAGGUUGAUGUUAGUUUAGCAUUAUUCUUGUUCCUGAUUUUAGCCCCUAUCCUUUCCCUGGAUCCGACAAGCAUAAUUAUUGGCCCUUUACAAAUUUUUGAUCUUGAAAAUUCAACACAUUGGCCUUGACUUUGGCUGUAAAUCCAAUUGUUUAUGGAUCAUUUGAAGAUAAUAAACAUUUAGUACGACAAAUCUAAUUGGGUACGGUAGAAAAAGAAAGUUUACUAGGUGGAGCUAUUAAGAUUAAAUUUCUUAUAUAGAAUCUAUUAUUAUAUAUAUAAAAAAGAUACUUUUUCUUGUAAGAUUUGGACUAAGAGAAGCUUGGUUGAUACAGGGUUAUGCUUAAAUGAAUAGCCUAAUCAACAAAUCCUACAAUAUUUUCAGUCCAAUCCUGUAGGGAUAGCCAACUAGAACCUCAAGCGAUUCGGUGGUUCAUCAAUCAUAUUCCUUGUUAACGCUAAUAUUGUGAAUUGUUAGCGUGUUUAUAUCUUUAGUACAUUUUUUUGAUCGUUUAAAUUACAUGAUUCUUUAUCAAUGGCAUGGUUGGAGCCAUUUGUGAUUAGUUUGGAACAUUCAUCCUGAGGCUUGUUGAGGUUUGACUUGAGGCUAAUAGUCUAAUAGAGACUGGUGGUCUUGUAUCUCAUAUUGCCAGUUACGUUUCAACCUCCGAGGAACGAUGUGCUUUUGCGGUGUGAAUUAUUUCUAUUUUUAUUGGCCCAAUUCUGAAGGGUCCAUCAGGCCAUCUCUUUAGCAGUCAUAACGAAGGCCCAUCAAGUUAGCAGCGCACACCAUGUACCUGCGAAAUAGAUAGGAGCUUGACAUGAUCCAAGUGAUUGUAGUUUAUUUAGGUCCGUUUGUUUUGCAAUAGAGAAUGAAAGUAGAUUCAUCGAAAUUCAAUGUUUGCAAGGUGAUUCACUUAAAAUCAAUUGGCAAGUAGAUGAAGUCACUUGGCCGUUUGUCUUCUAAUCCUAUGGGUGUCUUGAGCUGCACUUCGAUCAUUCAAGAGAUGAUAUAGUGCAAUGAAGUAUGUUCUUUGAAAGCUAGAGUCAUCUAGCUUACCACAUCUGUGCCUAUCUGACUUACCGCAUCUGGUUAGAUAAGAAUGCCUGCAUUUUCGAGAGGAGGGCACCCCCGCAAGUUGUAGUGGACAGAGCUUUCCGGCAUGCGGCCGAGAUCAUCUACUCUAUCAGGGCGACUUUACUUGGAGGGACUUGGGACACCUAAGGUUUCUACAUUGCUGUUACAGCGCCCAGGUUCAUUUUUGUCACUUGGGAACCUCCAACCUUUGGUCAUCUUAAGGUAAACUUUGACGGUAAUGUGCUAGCCGGAGGAGAUAGAGGAAGGACGGAAUUUGUGAUCCGUGAUCACAAUUCGAAACUAAUUGCUGCAGAAGGGCAACGCAUCUGUGGCACGACAGUCAUAGGAGCGGAGUUCAAGGCGGCAUUGGAGGGUAUCAUCUAUAUGAAGAGUGUCCUAAGGGCUGACGAGAUCACCCUAGAAGGACACUCCGCGAUGCUGAUCGAUUGGAUUCGGGACGCUGAGCAACAUGUCGACGGCCAUCCUCUCCUUAGCAAUAUGCAGCGGAUGAGGAGAGUCUGUGACUCUUUUCAAGUUGUUCAUGUGUAUCGGAAAGCGAAUCGAGCAACUGAUUGAGUUGCUUCCUUUGUUGUUCAUUACUCCAGAGAGGUCUCAUGGAUAUGGACUGAGAUUAUGCCCUUAUCUUUAUGUCAUAUAUUGUAUCUUAACUCAAUAGGUUGCACUCACGCCAGAUUAAUAUGAUCGACUGUUGUACCCCCUCAAAAAGAAAAAAAAGCUAGAGUCAAUAAAAAAUUGGUUUAAAAACAUUCAGGUAGUCUUGCAACAUACCUACUCAUUAUAAUAUAUAUAAUAUAUUAAUAAUAUAUAGAUGUAUCUUUUUUUUUUCGGACUCAAAAGAUAUUUUUAUUCUCAAAUUUCAGUCUAACCUAAAAAUCCAUCCUCGAGGACCGAUUUAAGAUUACCAAGCUGGACACUGAUUUUAGGAAUGAAGGAAAUUUAGAAAUACUACCAUGUGGGAUUAUCGAAAUGCAGUCAAGCACCCAUCUUACAUCACCCUCGUCACUCGAUACCAAAUGCUCCUAUAAAGCUGCAGGAUGAAUGCAAGCAUCAGUUGCAUGUACAAUGCAAAUUAUCUCGAAUCCUCGUCCAUGGCCUCGAAUCCCCCUGCCAUCGCUAUCAUGCGGGUGUUCUUCCAUAUUACCCCUUUCUAGCAAAAAUGCACCAUAAAUGGUCUAAGAAAAGAAAGCUAGAGGAAUGCACCUGGAUCACUCGAAGAAAACAUAUGAAAAAAAAAAGUGGCACAAGAAGAAGAAAAGAAGGUUCUGAAUGAAUGCAAGCUUAGAAACUAAGGUUGAAGGAGGUGCCGGGCACCGUAACGAUUCUUCGACGAAACGACUUGAUACGGACCGUGCCGGGCCUAUACCAAGAGAGGGCACGACAUCAUGGGAGAGAGAAAAAGAGAAAGAGCGAGCGAGCAGGGAGGGAGGGUCGGAGGAGGGUGGUGGAUGUCGGUGGAGGGCCGGCAAAGGCUAUAGCCGGUUUUCCUGUUUUAAACAAAACAUGGGUUCUGCCGUGGCUAAAAUAUUUUGCAAUUUUUAAGCGAGGUCUAUAAAUCGCUUACCGUAUUCACUUAAAAAUCGCGAAAUUUAAAAAUCGGUAAGAAAUUUGCCGAUUUUAUUUUAAAAACGUAAAAUUUUUUAGCCGCAUUUGGACCUCGUUCAAAAUAGGGGAACUGACCGCGGCCUCCGCCGGCUUUUAUGGCUUCCGUCGGCAAAACCGCAGCCCCUGCCAGCCUUUAUGGCUUCCGUCGGCAAAACCGCAGCCCCUGCCAACCUUUAUGGCUUCCGUCGGCCCUUUGCCGGCGUCCGCCACCCAUCUCCGGCUCUUCCUCCUCCGCUUGUGUUUUUUUUUUUUUGCCACUCCAGUAACGAGUUUUGUUUCUAUUAUCGAAAUCGUAUACCACUGAGGUGGUAGCUCAGUGGAACUGGACUUUUACUUCCACCCGGGCAAUCCGAGUUCGAAACGUACGGGCGUCGAUUAAAUGUGAAGACCGCAUGCUCCCCACUCAGACACGUGGGAUGGGAGGGCUUAUUGGUCCGCCGAUAGCCUCGGUGAUGCCAGAUGUGACGUCCUCAUACUGAGGGGUCGUACCAGAGCCCAGAGAGAUAACCGAGCCGAGCUCACAGGUGGGAAGAGUAUGAGUAAAAACAGCCGGCGUGCCCAACACACGAUCAGUUCUGCCCGCAUCGAACAUUCUUCUGGCGGAGUGGGGCCCAGUGGAGGCUACUACACGGGGGACUUGCCCCUUCCUCCUCAUUUCUCUUUUGCCUGAGAAAAAAAUAAAUAAAUAAAUAAAUAAAAUUGUACCUGUCAGCUGGUACGCCGCGGAUCGGACGGGUCGCCGACCUUAUUAGAAGCUAUCAUAAAGAGUGCUAAAUCUGUCCGUCGCCAGCUUCUUCUCGAACCUUCCACAGGCUUCUCGACUUGUCUCUCUUCCAGGCCUUUCCACCUCUCCCUCUAUGUCUUCCCCCUCCUCUCUUCUUCGCAAUACUGAAAUCCAAACGAUCGCAGACGAACCAUUCGCCGUUCACCACCACUACCAGGUAGUAGAAGAAGAGGAGCAGGGAUCGCAGAGCAGAGGAGGAAGCUAAGAGAUGGGAGUGGAUUACUAUAAGAUCCUCCAAGUCGACAAGAACGCCAAUGAUGGAGACCUCAAGAAAGCCUAUCGCAAGCUCGCCAUGCGAUGGCACCCCGACAAGAAUCCCAACAACAAGAAGGAAGCUGAGACCAAAUUCAAACAGAUCUCCGAGGCUUACGAGGUACUCAAUCCAUCGCCCAACCUCUUCUCCCACUCGAUUCCCACCUCAAAUCCCCUUCUAUCGCUUAUUUCGAUCCUUUUGUUGGUUCUCACUUCGAAUUCCCUCCAAAGAUCUCUUUUUUCGGAAUAUCAGAAUCCGUUUUAUAGGUGUUGCCUCAAAUUCCCUCCAAAGAUCCCUUUUUUCUUCCUGUUUUCCUCUUUUUCUUAGGUCUUCUCUCCAAUUCCCGCCCAAAGAAUACUUGUUUUGCAUCUAUUUCAAUCCGUUUUCGAGUUUCUCCCUCAAAUUUCCUACAAAUAUAAACUUAUUUAACGCCUAGUUCCCCUUCUGUCUUAAAUUCCUAUCCCCGGAUCACUUUUUCACCCCAUUUUUUGCUCCUGUUCUCUAGGUUUUAAGUGAUCCCCAGAAGCGCGCCAUUUACGACCAGUACGGGGAGGAUGGGCUCAAGGGACAAGUCCCGCCUCCGGGUGCCGGCGGGGCGUCCUUCUUCCCCGGCGGCGACGGGGACGGCCCCACCGUGUUCCGCUUCAACCCGAGGAACGCCGACGACAUUUUCGCUGAGUUCUUCGGGUUCUCGAGCCCGUUCGGGAGCAUGGGAGGCGGCAGCAAGAAGGGCGGCACCAGGUUCUCCAGCUCGAUGUUUGGGGAUGACAUGUUUGGGCCGGCGUUUGGUGGCGGAGAGGGGCCGAUGCAUUCGCGUCAGCCACAGAAGGCAGCGCCGAUAGAGAAUUCCUUGCCAUGUAGCCUCGAGGACUUGUAUAAAGGCACAACGAAGAAGAUGAAGAUCUCCAGGGAGAUUGCCGAUAUGAGUGGGUAAGUCUCUUCUCUAAAUCUUUUCUUAAUCUUGGAAAUGUUUUUUAUAUUUUCGUUUUGCUCUUUCUUUGAUGCCUAUUUUUUCUUCGUGCUCUGAAUCACUUUUGUUUGGUUGGAUUAAAAGUGAUGGAAGAUGGGUGUGUAAACUUAUAUCGAUUAAGUGAGCUUUAAUUGAUGAGAUGCCUCGUUUAUAUGAUUAUCCAAGCUUGAGUUUGUUGGGAUUACUUGGAUUUCUAUUUUAUUACUGUUCCGCAUACUCAUUGGAAACUCUUUCCACGGCAGUGUAAGGCAUCUCAUCAUAAUCAGACAGUAAAAAUAAUUUAAAUAAUAAUGUUCAAAUUUAAAUUAAAUAACAAAAUUAAAAGUGUUAUAAAACUUAUAAUAUUUCAAAAUCUUGUAUAUCAACUCUAAAAUAAAAUUUAGUCUAAAUAAAGAUGUUAAAAUCUUAUCUCUAAUCACUCUUCUAAGAUAAAUUUUCGAGUGACGCUGGUUCUUCGGAUCAAUUAAAAAAAGUAAAAAAAUUGUAUAAUGAGCUAGAAAAUUCAAUAAGCAAUGAAUAAAUCAAGCAAUAAAAUAUUAAUAGUAUACUGAAAUUAAGUAUGCAAAAUAUAUUGAUUCAAAACCAAAUCGAUACGAUAUCCAGUCAUUUCAAAUUUCAAAUCUUGUUUCAUAAAUCAAUUAUCUUUCAAAUCAUUAAGUUCAUCGACAGCCAUGAAUUAUGACCACAUUUAUGUCCUAUAACUGGGCUAGAAUAUAAGCUCAUCAAAGUGCCAAUGUAUAACCCCCGCUAGUAGAGUAUCGAUAUGCCAAUGUGUAACCCCCACUAACAGGAUGCUGAUAUGCUAACAUAUAAUCUCCACUAGCAGGGUGUCGAUAUACGUGAAUAAUCUCCAUUGGCAGAGUGUCGAUAUACAAACAAAUAACCUACACUAACAAGGUAUCGAUACAUAGUCUAGCUGCGAGUCUAAAUUUGUUUCGAAGCAAAAACUUGUUUUUUCAUAUUCAGUGUUCCAAAUCCUAAAAUACAUAAAUUCAUAUGACAUCAAAAUCAAUCGAAUAUAAUUCAUAUCAAAAUCAAUACAUUUAAUUAAGAAUUAUAUAAUAUUCUAGAAAGAGGCACAUAUAAUAAUAAAAUACUAUGCAUCAAUUUUAUAAAUCCAGAAUAAUUUGAUUAAGAAAAUAUCUAUAAUUUGUUGAUGGAUCUAGAAAAAAGAGUUACAUUACUUGCAAGCGAAUCCAAAGUAUCAGUCCAAUCAGUUUCAAAAAUAGAAAUCUUAAUUCUAAUAUUUUAUAGGAUUGAUGAAAUGAGAGUGCUCGACAUCCCUCUCAUCUGAUCAUGUUCGAACUAGGGUACUGAUGGUUCAAUAUAGAUCGGAGGUAAUCAAAUCUAAUAGUAUAUGGGAAGGGGAGGGAUGGUGUGCCGCCCAUCAAACAUAGAUUAGGGCCCUUCAUUAGGGUUGACCCAAAAUCAUGAAAAGAAGUAUCUUACUAGGUCUAUCAUCUCUAAAGAGAGUAAAGAAAGAAAGUCCAGUAGAGAGAGAAAAAUAAGAGAGACUGAGAAAAGAAAGAAGAGAUAGGAGAGAGAAAGAAGAGAGAGACUCUCUUCUUCCUCAAAAUAGAGGAGAGUACGUCUCCCCUCUUUGGUCAGAUUUAGGGGGCAGUCAUGGUAGUCAGCCUCGACGAUGGCAGGAGACAACAAGGCUCGGCCAACCUCGGUGGCCGGCGGCGACGAACUGCGAAGAAAAAGAGAUCAAAACAGGGCACCCUGUUUGGGACAGUUUUUUGGCAAGCAAUUCGUCAGCCCAAAUCAGGGUGGUUUACGACUAAUAAGACCAAGAGAGAGAAGAGGAAUGCCUACCUUAGUCCAGCAAGGUGGUCCUUCCGGCUCCUUUCGGUGACAAAUCGAGGAAGAUUGGAGGAGAAGCUUGGGAUCGGAGGCUUGAUCUUAGGUGAACUCGAAGGAGGAGGACGAAGGUCUUUAAAUAGACAGUCCCGGCUUUAUCCGGCCGUUCUUUGGGUGGCGAUGGGACUCAGAUCAUUAUUGCGAUUGGGGAGGAAAAAGACUCCCAGCCGGAGGCUUGCUCUCAAUUCUCCCUCAUGUGCGUCUCUCGAUUCUCCCUCACGUGCGUCGCACUUGAAGUUGGCCUAAAUAUGGCUAGGCCGGUCAAGUGGACCGGGCCCAGUCCACUGGCUUCACAUGAGUAGUGUGAGUGUGAAAUAUGUUAGUUAAUUUUGUUGUUUGAUGAAGGCAUGCUCUCUUAUAUAUUUGUUCGACUGGUUGUUUUAAUUAUUAUUUUCUAAUAUUUUGGUGCAGUUACCUUGAGCUUCUCAUAUAGUUUUGUUUUCUUAUGGGUUUGAGCCAUUCGCAUCUAGAACUUGAGCUUUGCCUACGUUCCCACCAACUUCGGGUUCAUGUGUGUGAUUCAUUCGUGGCUUGUAAAAUAGAAGCAUUCCUUUGCUUUCAAAAUUCACGUGCAUACCAACGCCAUUGGCAUGCAAAUGCAUCCCUAGUAUUGUUAGUGAAUGUGUGACAACUUUUAACACCAUUUCAUCUCAGGUUUACUGUUCUGGAUUGAUUGAGUUACUAUAGGAAGAAAAUGUAUUAUUAUUUCUAUUGUAAUUUCAGAAGAGGAUUUUAUUUUUGUUCCGCAUUCUUAUAGAUGAUGAACUCGUUUCUGUUAGACAUGUAUCCUUUGACAAGUUUGGUUGUUUCUUCCGUAUUGUUGGCUUCCAGUUCUUUGCUUAUCCAUUAGUAAAUUAUAUGCUUUUUGAGACUUCUGCAGAUAGACUUGAUAAAAAUUCCGUCUUGGCAGCUUGUAUAUCCACUAGAUUGGUUUAUGAUUUCAGUGCAGUUACUGAUUUAAUUAUUUGAUCCUUUUGUCCAGCAAAACAAUGCCAGUGGAGGAAAUCCUGACCAUUGAGAUAAAGCCUGGUUGGAAGAAGGGAACAAAGAUUACGUUCCCUGAGAAAGGAAACCAACAGCGCAAUGUCAUUCCUGCAGACAUUGUUUUCAUCAUCGAUGAGAAGCCACAUCCUGUCUUCACAAGGGAAGGAAAUGAUCUGGUUGUGACAAAGAAAAUUUCUCUUGUUGAAGCUCUGACUGGGUGUACCGUCCAUUUGACAACAUUGGAUGGUCGCAGCCUUACCAUACCCAUAAAUUCUGUGAUCCAUCCCAGCUUCGAGGAGAUUGUUCCUAGGGAGGGCAUGCCAAUACCUAAGGAUCCAUCCAAAAGAGGGAACCUCAGAAUCAAGUUCGACAUCAAGUUCCCGACAAGGCUUACUUCAGAGCAGAAAGCUGGGAUUAAAAGGCUGCUUGGUCCUUAAGCCUGAAGCAACUGGAGAGAAAAGUUUGUGAAUAUUUCUAGUUGAGGGUUUGCUCGAUGGGUUUGAUGUACUUGUAGCCUGACUAGGCUUUUGCAAUAAGCUUAAUCUGAUAGCUGAGCACAAACAUAAUUGUAACGUGAUCAUUUUUCGGUUCUAGAAGAAAAUGAAGACACGUUUUUUCCCUUAUUUCUCCUCCCUUAACCCAGAUUGUUGCUUGAGAACUGCUGUGCAAAGGUAGCGUUCCACCCUAUGUAUCUUGCAUCGUGACUGUAGAUCAUGCGUUCGGGUUGAACUCUUCUUAAUUGGACCUUGUAUGGUUAACCCCCUACUUCGGCAGGAGAUGGUGAUGGUCGAUUUUUUGUUCAGCUCCAGUCCGGGGGUUCAAAAGAUUCUCAUUGAUAAUUGUGUGCCACGAAAGAUGUUGGAGAUACUUUUGAGGUCUAUCGUCUUCAUGCAACCAAUGAAUUUUCUCAUCUUGAAGAUCCUGAUGAUGCAUCGUGGUUUUGUUCUAUAUCCCGCGCGCCAUCGAUAACUUGUCAGGUGGCUGGUAACGGGCUCUCUCUCCUUCGGUUCCUGGAGGUUCUUGGAUAAUAGCACUGAUCGGUUCUUGGAAUAUAAAUGUAAUGCCUCUUUUAUUUGCCCCACCUGUUUCCAAAUAUUCAGGACCUUUGUCUCAUCAAUCCAUCUUUAAUUUACCCCAACUCUUCUCACAUAUUUAGGACUUCCAAGCUCCUUUCUUCUAUUGACUGCAGCACUUUAGCAGAAGACUAUUUAUCCCAGUUUACAGAUAAAUAUGGCACAUGCUUUAACUAUGUCCGUUCUCUUGUAACUUUUCCAAAAUAAAACAAAGAUAUCCUAAACAAAAUGAAACUUUUAUAAAUAAAAGAUAAAUCGUUUAAUAGGUACAUGGAACAGCCUAGAAACACCUGAGCAACACAAAAUCUACAAACUUCUGCCGCAUCACUCGGUAUUACUAGGCGAGCUAAGAGCGCAAAGCUGACUCAAACCUGCCCUUCCCACUGACCUCCUUCCCUUAUCUGAACUGUCCAGAAUUCACCUCAGAUUGCAGAAGCAAUUAGAAAGCUUCCUCAGACUGCCUCGGCACUUAAAUUACCUGAAAAAAAGAAUAAUGACAGCUACAGCUAUCACCAGGCAAAAAGAAAAAUGGAUAGUUAUCAUUUUCUUAAAUUUUUUUCUUCUACUCUACACAGGAAGAAUUUGAAUUCCUUAAUCACUGUAUUCUGAAGAGAACGAUGAAGCCCCUUCAUCUUCAUCUCCAUUUCCUUCAUCCCUGACCUCCCCCACGUCCCCAAUUUCUUCAUCAUCUUCAUCAUCCACAUCAGCAUCCAAGUCCUCAUGCCCACUGCGGUCCACCUCAUCUUCCUCGUCAUCUUCAGGAUCAUCCUCCUCUUGACUCUCAUCAUCCAUUAGUCCUAUGGGUUUGCUCUCAUUGUAGUCUAUAGCAUAGUCUGCUGCCUGAUCAUCGUACUCCUCUCCUGAUGCUUGACCAUUUUCAUCAGAUUGGGAACCUUCACUGUUGUCAUCAUCUUCGAUGUACGGCCUUCGGGUUUCCUCUAAACCCCACUCUUCUCCACCUGAGCUUCUUGGAGACUCCUCAACACUGUCCUGUCUGACACUACUACUCACACUCCUAAAAUUGCCAAACAGAGACUCCUUUCGAACUGCUGGCACCCUGCUCUCAGAUCUUUGCCAUGACCUAACAGUGCGACGACCCCGCCUACGCCCCCCUCGGCCACGUGCCCUGCCUCUUCUUGCAUACUUCCUUGUGGUCUUCUCAAAACUAUUAAUGUUUUCAUCUCUGAACUCUACUCUGGUGGAGUUUACAUUCCCUCUGGAGCCUCUUCCUCCACGACCACGACCCCUUCCACCCCGACCACGGCUCCCUCGUCCACGACCUCUACGUCCACUUCCAGGAUCAAGCCACUUAGCCUCUUUCAGGUAAUCUACUUGGUCUGCAGUAUCUGUUGGAUCCAGCUCUUGGAAGUUCUUUACAACAGCAUAUCUUGAUGGAAGUUUCUGCAUAAAAGAAUAGUACUAUAAUCCAACAGGGCCAUUAGAUAAUCACUAUGCUUAGGGCCUGUUUGGAUGCCCACACAAAGAAUUCCAGGGAUAAGUUCCUCAUGCAACUGAAUUUUAAGAGAGUCAGUGGCUGUGGAGAAAAAUUUCGCAUCCAUGGCAAGAGAUCAGGAACUUUGAGAUUAUAGUCCCUGAAAAUUAAGAUACUCGAAUCCCUCCCUCUCAGAGAAGAUUUCCAGAAUCCCAAUUUUUUUGAAAACACGAGCCAAACUUUCCUUGAUUAGAAACAUUAUUUUACUCUCAAGCUAACCUCUUCCCACCAUUAAACAUUUACGGUACAUCCUCUGGACAGCUUACCGGGGCAUCCAGACAGCUCCUAGAAGUCCCAACACAAAGAACCGACACUAAUCUACAAAAUUUUAUUUUUUUCCUCAUAUAUUUCCCAGCUAAUCAAUGCCGAGUAGAAGGGAAUUAAAUAUGUAUAAAAUUUAAGAACACAACACGAUCCAAUAGAACAAGCUCAUUUCAGGAUAGCAUUAAUAUCAGAAUUUACAAGAGCAAUGAGAUGCAAAGUAUUCAGAUUUUAGCUUACUGAUAAAGUUCCUCUAGAUUUAGGAUUGGUUUAGUUCAAAGUUUAGAUGAGUCCAUGAGACAGGCAGUGAAACACAUUAGGAAAGAAGCACGGAAUAGUUUUAGGAAAAAAGAGAAAGAGACAGACAUUUGGUGAAAAUGAUGACUUAGAAUGGUGCCCAAACCCCAAAACACCAUUCAUAUGUUGGUGAGUGAUACUUCAAUAGAAUUUAACUUGAAAAAGAAGUAGUUUCUGAUAUUGGACUAGUGAUUAAAAAUGUAAACUUCAAGAUUUGUCUUGUCUAUCAAUGUAUUUUGUAAAACAACAAGAUGAUAAAAGGAAGCCCUGCUUUAAAGGAUUACAAUAUAUAUGGAGACACUUUCAAUGUAAUUUCCUGGAGGCAGAUAACAUUCAAUUAGAUCUUGGGAGAAACAGGGGCAUUCUUCUGAAAUAAAAUUAGAGAAUUGACAAGUUCAAAUCAACAUAGACUGGAUUCCAGUUGCUAUUUCAAAAGGUUGGGCACAGCCUAGGUGCUCACACUAACUCUUGCAUCCUAGCAUCCCUCUUAUUUCCUUUUGGAAUUAUAGUUUUGAAUGUUAAGCAUGCAUUUAAAAAUCAUUUAUUUUUGAUGUAAUAUAGAUAACCUAAAUACAACUACUAAGGCUCCAAAUUGUAGUUCAUGGUCGUUCUUCCUGAAAAAGAGACAGGACUCUUUAAUCACGAUUACUGGAUUGAAUACGAGCAAAAAUUGAUUAAACUGUACAUAAAUUGCUUUCAAAAAGUAAGGAAAUAUUCUAUCCCAAUUUUUGAGACAAAGCUUAACCAACAUUACAUAAUUUUGCCCCCUACAAAAAUUUCCACAUGAGAAAAUUAAGGCAUAUUUCUAGAGAAUAAUGCUAUAGGAAACCAGUUAUAUGCAAAUGAAAAUUCUCUUGCCAUGUCAAGAGGGAAUUUCCGUAAGUCAAGAUCUAUCAUACCGGCCUGUACUGAACUAUACAGACUAUACGGUACCUUACCCGUACGAUACCGAGGUUCGUUCGGUGAGUCGAACCAAUCCAGACCGGUCUAAACCGAGCGGAACCGUCUCAUACCACUGGUACUAUCCAAAACUAGGGUGCAUACUGUACCAUAAAGAUCCGUAUCGCAUGCUUUUGGACGGUACCAUGAUCAAAGUGAGAAAGGCCAGGGAGUUGUCUCAGUACGGGAUGGUAUUGUACCAUACCAAACAGGUGACGUACUAGUGUGUUAUCCAGCACUGAGGUUGUAGACCUCCACGGGGUUUAUUGGUAUGGAGUUGCUAGAACAGCAAUUGUGGGCUCAAUGAACUUUUCUUGUGUGCUUAACAGGUGCCCUGAAGCAUUUCCUAUUUCAAAUAAAUCCGAAGAAUCAUAUUGGUCCAAUGGGUCACAAAAUUGAUGUUCAAAUCUUCAUACAUCAAACAAAUGCUUUAUGAUUUAAUCAACUACAAAAUCAUAAUCAACCAUUAUGACGUUACUGAUUCCUAUAUUCCCAUCCUAUUCAGGUUUACAAGCUAUCUGGUUUAUCUAUUAAGAAGGAACACCAAAAUUCAUACGAAAAGAGCAGAUGAACUUACAAUGAACUCUCCUACUUCCUUCUCUUUAUGAGAUUCCAGCUUCUGGUGCAGCAUGUAAGAAAUUGACGAAUCAAAAUCCAACAGCCUUAAAGCCACAGCUGCGGCAGUAUCAGGCACCCAUGGAAGUACAGGAACCGAUCCAGAAAGGCCAACAGUGCUGUCCAUGACGAGUCCUAGUGUAGUAGAACUCAGCAGUUCAGUUGUUGUUUCAAAAUUCGAUGAUAGACAGUCCCGUUUUAUGGCACCUUCUAACAAAGUCAGAAUCUGCAAGCAAACAAAACAAAAUACGGCAUUACUUCUAGAUUUCUAUAUAAAAAGAUAGUAGUAUUGUAAUCGAAGGAGUGUAGUAUGAAAUUAUAUUGCCACCAAGAAGAUACCUAUUCAAAAUCAGGCAAUACCAAAAGGCUUAAGUAACAUCCACAAGAUGCAGCACAAAUGACAAGUCGUGUAUUUGAGAUAACCUAUAACCAUCUAACCUUUUUCCCAACUAUUUGGGUUUGUGUGUAUUUUAAGAGAUAUAAUCCAAAAUUCUAAGUGAUUAUAUCCAUAGCAUAGUACCAAUAACAAACUAAUUCACAUUACUGAUAGGACUUCACAAACUAUAAACUAUAAAGUAUCUACAGUCAUCAUAUUUCUUUAACUUCUGGUUUUACUUUUUUUCUUUCAAGUUUUACAAGUCUAUCCAGAAAUGUUGGUGAAUUUUCCAAAAUUUCAUGGAGUAUAAAAUUUUCCCUUUAUGAAAACUAGAAAAUAUUCUUUUCUAGGCCAACCCAAGUUCCAGUCGGAAAAUACAUCCAGAGUUCCAGACCACUUAGCAUUAAUUCAAUUCAAAUUCUUUCUCAUUCUUGAGUAGUGGUCAGGAUCUACUUAAGAGUACAACAAACCCAUAGAUAAGCUGCUUGUGCUUCAUAUCUAUUAUGCAGUUAAGAAGCUUGAUACCAUGUUCAACAAAGCACGAUGGUUGAUUUUGCAAUCCACCAGCGACCAUUGUAGUAGUGUGUUGUCUCUCUUUCAGGUAAUGCAAUGAAAUAAGGACAAUUUACUUUUGACAGGCAUACUAAUAAAGAACAACUGGUACAAAAUAUACAUUGAAAGAUGAACCAGGAAUUUUCCAAACUGUAUUACUGCUUAUUUUCUUGUCUAAUAUAACAAUGCAACAUUUAUUUAUAAUGUCAUGCAGAAUACCUACACUGUUGCAAUUCUUAGGAUCAUUGCUAUGCCAUUUUUUAUUGGAUGACUCUCCUCCCUCCUACUGGAAUUGGAAAGUCCUUUACGGGUUGAAAUUGGCUAUGCAAACAAGAAUUAGUAAGACUAAUAUUGGAAUAUUUAGGGGUUAUCCAAUACAGUAUGAUGUGUGGAGAGUGAGAAACUGCAGGUGGAAACUUAAAGAAGUUUGCAAAGACUGAAAAUGAAGAGUAAGCAGGCAAUACCUCCAUCAGGCAUGAGUAGGAACUUGCACAAUAAUCAACAAAAAAGUAUUAUCGGCAGUAGUACAAAAGAGAGUUGAGCAACAUACCCAUGCCAACAUGUAUAUUAUACACACUCAUCUGAUUCCUAUGAACUACUUACAUGCUCAUGUGAUUCACGUGAAAGCCAGCACAUUAAGUGGGAAAUGCUGCAUUGCAAGCUGCAUGUGGACAAAUGUUCCACUACAAGCAAAUGCAAAUCUAUCACUGUCCUUCACAUCUACAUGCAUGUGGUGUGUAUUUACAAUGUUUUAUAGUGCAUUACAUUCACAAUACAACACAUUUAAAUAACAAAAAAAUAAAGUUAAUUCAGGAUACCAAUUCAAACUUAUGCAUGUGUACACAAAACAGUUUAAUUAUAAGGAAAAAUAUUAAUCAUCAUCCUCAUUAUUGAUGCAGUGACUUGAAGUAAGCAAUGACUAUGAAUUUCAUCAGAAACAAACCAAUAUUUCUUGCCAAAUGCUGAAGCAAAAACCUUGAUAAGAAAAUUCACAUGGUGCUAAACAGAAAAAUUAUGGCAUUUGCAGCACUCCUUGUGAUGGGCAAUAACUGCUGAGGGCAAUGGAGAUAAUUUAUGUUUUAAGCCACAAAAAUGUGUCACUGAUGUUAACUGGGUUACAAAUUGGCACCAAUUACAAGAUUUGGAUGGAACAGAAUAUUAAGUUACUAAACUACAGAAAUUCAUUUUUCACAUAUUUUCUGAGCUGAAUGGCUUUUGUUGUUACAUAGGAAAAUACAAGCAAGAUCAUAGGAAAAUAGGACAUACAUCUUCAAUAGACCUGUUCACAGGCCCAGCCAGCUCAAGCCCACAGCCUUUUGGGUGGGCUUGGGUCAAGGUUUUAGGCCUGGCAGGUCAGUCUACACCUGGAAAAUAGUCUCGCUUAAUAUGGGCCAGGCUUGGGGAUUAAAUCCCGGCCCCCAGCCCGACCCCUGUAUGGCCCAAAUUUUUUUGUGUGUUGAUUGUUUAUGUUUGAUAUAUUUGUAGACUUAAUUGGCAAUUGUUGAUGAUGCGUGAGCUUAAUAGGGCAAUAGACAUAUUGUAGGUAAUUGGCAACAUUUAAAUAUUCAUAUUUAGUUUUUUAAAAAUAUUUUUAAGCAUUUUUUAAAAAAAAUUAAAAAGUGUCAGGAUGCCCGAAGCCCGGGCCUAAGUAAAAUUUGGGAAAAGCCCAGCCUGGCUCAUGAACAGAUCUAAUCUUCAAUAAUGGUCACUUUUAUAAUAUCAUUUUGUUAGCUCUCGAUGAGUAAUUAACCGAAUCAUGAUUAAGGUUUCAUGUUUUGGUGCCAAUGCAUGGGCCAUGACACACAUGUCAUGCCAUGUCAGAAUAAGAAAGUCAAAAGAAAAACAUAAUACCCUUUUUUAAUUUAAAAUAUUUAAAAAGAAUAAAUAGAUUAUGUGUCAACUCAUGCUGGGUGCCAAUUCUGGGCAAUGAUCAUAACGCAUUACUUCUCAUUUCAUUUAAUUGAGAUAACGAACAUUCAACUUUACAUUCACAUUUUACAAAAGCAAAAAGGAUUAGAAACAAUGAAGUGAACAAUCCAGGAAUCCCACAAUCCAAAAAGACAACCAAUUGGAAUGCUAAAUCAAAUUUUACUAGCUUGGAAGCUAUUUCACCCUGAUUAAUUUGAAGAUCUUUCCAGGCCUAAAUUGUGUUCAUUUCAGAUCAGGGCCAUUGAUACUUCUGAUCAAUGACAACAGAAGAAAAACAAGGACAGCUAAGCUCCCAAAGCCUACGAGGACCAAAGCACCCAAAUGACAAACGAUUUAAACUUUAAAGUAUCAAAAACUAAUGAAACCAUGUUUUAACAAUUUCCUAGAACCAGCAUUGAUUCUUAUUACCUUAAUGCAAGUUUAAUUUGAUGAGGACAGCUAAUGCCAGCAGGAAGCAUUAAUUUACUGUAAUGUAAAAGUGAAACAGGCCACUGAAACCUAUAUUAGAUGGCCACAAGGUUUAUGAUGCUCCUCCCAUUGAGUAAAUUCCAAUGAGUGGUGAAAUAAGAAAAAAUGUUGUUUUACAUGAUUGUUUUCUAUUAGUCUAGUAUAAUUAGUAGAAAAAACCAAAUUAAAAUGAUCAUAUGACAUAUUAAAUGUUGUGAGGUAAAUAUGUAAAAGUAAAUGCAACCUGAAAGAGUUCCUCAGCAGAUGACGAGGAGUGCAACUUUACACCCCAAGACUUUCUAUAUCCUUCAGUCCAAAAAGGCUGAAGAGCUUCUGCUGGAAUGGAAACCUACAAAUACAGCAAAUGCUACCAUGAAUAAAAUCAGAAAAAAACAACAGUAAAUUAAAUAAAAUUUAAUUCAAAAAAUAAAACUAAAAAAACAAACUCAAGCAAUGUCACCACACCUCAAUCACAGCCAACUGUGCCUUAAGCAGCCUGAUCCCAAUGGGAAGACAAGAAUCUGACGCUUGCAUUUUCCACUCAGGGUCCAUUUUUCGCUUUUCUUCACACUGAGUAGCAUGUUCUGAGAAAUUUGAAUCAGCAUUAUAAAAGGUUUUGAAUGUCUUGUGGCAUGUAGGGCAAUGCCUUUCUUCAGCUAAGUAAGACUGGUAGCAGAAAUGGCAAGUUUGUAGCAGCUCAGAACAUCUUUUCUUCCCAUAUUUCAUGGCACAUAAUAUAUGAGGAUUGUAGCAUUCUUUCCACAUCCAUUUUAAAUAGCCCUGGUACCUCUUCAAAGCAGUAUGCUUCUCGAUCACAUUCCGCCCAAGUUCAAUCUUGAAAGAUUUUGAGACUUCCAAAGCAUCGGAAGUAAGACCACAGAGAGUACUGCUGGGACUGUCAAAUUCAGUGCUGCAAUCAGGACUUGAUUGCAUUUCAUUAGCCCCUCCUUUUGCAGGACCUCCAGCUGAGUUCAGAGAGGUGGUACACUUUUUCCUCCUAAUUGCUUCUUUGAAGGUUGUCUCAAUUCUUUGCAACAUAGAAUGCAAAUGAGACUCCCUAAUACCACGUGUAUCUAGGGCAGCUAGAAGAGCAUCAAAUGCCUGUAUUUUUAUCAAGGAGAACAUUGUGUUACAAAAAAAGCAUAAUUCACAAGGAUCAUGUGCCACAUCCAAUACUUGAGUAUAUGUCAUGAACAAGCCCAAGAUUACAAAACAGCAGAGUUCAAUUGGUCUCAUAUAUGUAAAACUUCAAUAGUGAUUUACUUCAAAAGAAUGAGCUUUGCCUUCUUUUGAUGCCUAUGCCACUCUAGCCUGACUGAUAGAAUUAGUAGAACCUAAGAUUGUAAGCACUGGAAGGAACAAGCACAUCAUUCCUCCAGUAAAUGUUGUAGGAUAUGCACAAGCAAAGGAUGGAAGGAAAUUAUGGCAGUGAUCCAGAUGGUGACUGACAUACCCCUUCAUUCUUAUUCACAGCUAUAAGAAUGCUCCUCCUUUCCAUUAGAUAAGAAAUGAAUGAAAAAGAAUGAACGCAAAUUCUUCGUUGACAAUAAUUUUGGAAAUGAAAUUAAGUAGGUAGACUGGACACAAAUGCACAUGCAAUAAUUAUGAGCUAACAAAUGCAAGAUUAAAUAAUCAAGAAAAAAAAAGUAUUAAGUUUCCAACCUAGUCUAUAUGAAGGUUAAAUUUUUGGCAACAUGAGACAUCCACUAAGCUAUUUCCUCUAGUCAUUCAUUAGUAGCCCCUUCAGUUCCUGGAUCUGUAUCUUGCCAUUAUACUAGCACAGUCUGCAAUUCUGAACAUGCCAAUUAAACUUUUACACACUUUAAUUCUGUGGUAGGAUUUAGAUAAACUGUGCUUAUUGAACCGGAAAAAAACCAUUAGUUGAUCCAGCAAAUUCAGAAACGCACUGUACAUAAAAUUAUUGUGAACAUAGCAAGAACUAUUGCAGUACCCAGUCCAAGCCAAUUAAAGAACACAGCUAUAUAUAAUGUCUAACAGAGAGAAGUAUUUAAAAAUGGAAAAUAUCAAAAAAUGGCACGAAAAAAUGAGCAGACAACUUAAAUUUAGCACCUGAAAUUUAAAUUCGAAUUUGUUUUGAUAACUAGAGAAAUAAUUGACUGCACCUUUUAUCAAUUUCGAAAAUAAGUUUGUCACUGACAGAUAUUGUGCUCAGAAAGUAAGUAUGCAUCCUCCACUAAAAGAACGUAAAUACAAUUAUAAUUUUAACUAUUAAAACAAAAGAGAUGAGCACCUCCUCUGAAUCAAGAAGCCUCCAAAAGCCAUCUUUGGACUCAAAGAAGAUUCUUCCUGAACCAGGAUCAUUUGGUGAAGCAGAUGUUGAAAACUGCCAGUACCGAUUACGCCAACGAUCUUGACCCAAGGGUAGUGACCUGUAUACAUAUAGUUGUUCUGCCUUGUGACCAAUGUAUGAUUUUAACUGUGAACGUGACUUUUCAGAUGCAUAUCCAUAUUGUUGAGGUGGAAGAGUGUCUGCAUUAGUAGAAAAAUCUUGCCCUAAAGAAUUCUUUUCAGCAGACACAUUACCAACAUUGAUCUGACUGUUUUGCUCUAGAUACUGGUCAUUGUUGAUGGUAGUUGGAUUCUCAUCACAAAUCUGAUUCUCAACAGUGUGUAGUGGAGUUUGACCUCCCUCUGUUGCAGCAUUUGUUUGGGUUGCCUCAGCUUUGCUCCCUGUGAAAGAAGUAUACUGUAAUUUGCUUGCAUACUCUUCUUUAAAACGUCUUUUAUCAAGCUGUGCCUCUGCCCACAUCUGCUUCUUUAGAGCAUUUGCAGCUUCCAAACGUUCCUGGAAGACUGCGCUUUAGAUGACAGGUCACAAAUAGAAACAAAAGUAAGAGAAAAUAUAGUACCAAAAUAUUCAAUUGCUACCUCAAGAAUAACACGUAUGGAGUUUCCUUCAAUAGCCACACCAAUCAACGCGACAAGGGCAUUAAGGCGCUCUUCAACACUAAGAUCAGAAUAAUCACCUUCUGUCAGUCCCUGAACCCAUGGUUCACCAAAGUUGCUUUCAUCAACCUCAAUGUCCUCCAUGUCAGCAUUAACUACCUCAUGGCAGUUUGAAUCGACAUCAAGGGACUGGGUAGCACCCGAAGCGCUUAUCACUUUGGAGUUUUCAGGAGGAGAAACUGAAUGGCCUUUUUCCACAUUCCUAGAAACAUUCUGUGGAGUUAAUUCGGCCUCAUCACAAACUGCCUCCUUGUUAAUACCUAGCGAAGUUGAUGCUCUAGCAUCUUUUAAUUCAUUUGCAAAAGGAACAUUCUUAUUUGGUUUUGCUUCAAUACUGGCAUCAUCAACUUCAGGGUCAUCAGCAACGUCAGCAUCAUCAGCCUCAGAAUCAGCAUCAUCUCUUUCAGCAUCAUCAGCAUCUUCUGUAUCCUUUUCAGCUUCAGAAUCUGAAAGUCCAUUUUGGAAUACUCGUAUCUUUUCUCGUGCAGCUGAUAGUAGAGCUUCUGCAUCAGCAGGAUCUUUUCUAAAGGGAGGUCGUACACAAUAUGUUGAAGGAGCCGUUCUUUCAAAAAGUUUUGUAUCUCUCGACAAUGCCGCAGCAAUAGAUGCCUCCGGUGUCUUGCUUGUGGUGAGAUCCCUUAAACCAGAUUUCUGACAAUGAAGGGAUAGGAAAAGAAAAUUCAGAUGAACAGGUCACAGAGAGGAAGAAUUUGACAAUUGACGGAAGAGAUACCUGAAUCUUGUCUGCAACUUCUAGUAUUGUGAGGCCUUUGCUUCCCUCAAGAGAAAGGACAUAAAAAGCAGCAAAUUUGACAGUACCAGGAGUUAAACGGUGCCGAGAUCUACGUCUAUGAGUAUAACCUUUUUCUUGCAUCAAUGCAACUGCAUUUUCAGCAGCUGAACCAUUCCGUAAAGCGGAAAUUACAUCCUCACCAUCAUUACCCUGACAAUCAGAAGAAAAUUCCAUUAAAUCUCCACUAAAAAGAUAAAUAGCCAACAACUGAUAGGACCUUCAAAUGCAUGCACUUGAGCAGUAACACAACAAAAGCAAAAUAUAUUUUUCAUAUCAAAAACCAUCAUCUAUUAAGUGAUUGAUGCUGAUAUUGCUAAAAGAGUGAUAACGUGCAGUGUGAGGAAUCAGCAGAAAGUGAGAUUUUCUAAGCUCCAAAAUGAUAGAAUUCAAGAACAUGAUUUUAUAAAAUUAAAUGCAUGACCUAGCACAUGUAUUCAAGUCCAUAUCAGUUACACAAUUAAAAUGACAUGAGACAAUUUAUUAAAAAGGCAAACUAUCAUGGAUCAGGCCCAAAAAAGGGAUAAUUUUUUCACCAAAGAAAUAGUAGUACCCAUGCACAUGCAUAUAUUCAAGUCAAUAUCCAUAUUUGUUUUAAACAGAUAUGGUACAAGUCGGAUAUUGGUUAUAGCCAUAUUUCUUCUAACCGCACAUCCCCAUAUAUUCAAGUCAGUAUCAAUUACACAAUUAACAUGACAUGAAAUAAUCUAUCAAAAAGGGAUGAUUUUUCCUCCAUGUUUUCUCUAUCUGAAUAUCAAUGUGAAAUAUUAGAAUAUUAUUUUGAUAUAAAUCAGAUUUUGAGUUGAAUUAAAUAAUGAAAACUAGUAGAUAAUUGAUCAAACAAAAAAAGGACAAUAGUAGCUUAUUGAUCAAGCUAAAAAAGGAGAGGUUUUUUCUAACAAAACAGUAUUUGUAGAAGCAGCAAGCCAUAUUGGAUACGAAUACGGAUCGGAUUCUAGUAUUGCAGCAUUUGUAUCCAUAUUUUUUCAGCAAAUGCGAAUCAGAUAUUGGUAUAUUUAUAUUUGCAUCCAUAUUUUUUUCAGCAAAUAUGAAUAUAGAUAAUAGGGCUGAAAAUGGUCUAGAUAUGGAUCGCGAAUUGGUACAUCCAUAUCCAUAACCAUAUUUUUUCGACAGAUAUGAAUAUAGAUAUAGAUAUUAAACAAAUACCAGAAUUAGUAUCCAUAUAUAGAGAUGAAUUGGAUACUGACCAUAUCCAUAUUUGUUCUACACGGAUAGGGAUACAAAUUGGAUAUCAAUCAAGGAAUGUGGAACCGAGCCAAACCGGCCGGUUCCGCCAAUUUCAAGCUAUGCCUGUGGCUCACCGGUACAGUUUAGCCAUUGAAAACGGCUCGCUGCCGAAGCCGAAUGAGAAGAGAGAGAGAGAGCAGAGGAGGGAGGGUGAACGAGGCACGGCGGACGGCCGUGGGAGAGGAGCAAUCGAGGUCGCGGCUAAAAAAUUUGGGAUAUUUUAAGUGAAGUCAGCAAAUCGAUUGCCGACUUCACUUAAAAAAUUUUAAAUUAAAAAAUUCCAAAUUUUUAGCCUCCGUCGGCCCCCCGUGGCCCUCCGUCAGCAUCCAUCGCCGUUCAUUCUCCCUCCCUCCCCCACUCUCUCUUUUUCUCUUCUCCUUCUUCGGCUCCGAUGAUUUUCUCUAUUGGUACGGGCUUAGCACAGCCCGACCGACUCGUACCGCCAAAAAAUCGGUACGGUGCUCGAUAUCGAUUCCUCCAACCUUGAAAUCAAUUAUAUUCAUAUUUUAUCUAUUUAAAUAUGGAUCAAAGUCAAAUAUUAUUUAUAUAUAAAUUGGAUUUUAAGGGAAUUUCAAUAAUGAAAACCAACAUAAAUGAUUGUUAUUAAAGAUGGGAAUGGAAUCCAAUAUAAAAAUCACAUGCAAAGCAUAGGUAACUAGGUAAGGGUCUAAAUCGUGGUUAUUCAAAUCGCAAGGAGACUGACUCAACCAAGGUUACGAGUCAUUGGUUCAAUUGUAUUUGUAUUAAAAAUAUAUUUGAAAUUAACUGUUAAAUAAAAAUAAAUAAUAUACAAAACAAUCAAGAAUUAUAUUUUAUGGAGAACUUGUAAGAAAAAGUUAUUUAUAGAUGUAAGAACGCGUUACAAGUAUGGAUAUUUUAAAAUAUUUUAAACAAUAAAAUUUUGACAAUAUUAUAAAGAAUAAACUGAAAUAUUUCAUUUUUUAUCAUUAUGAAAAUGAUAGGUUUUUUUAUGAAAAGAAUUAAUAAAUAACAUAUGAAAUAUGUUGUUUUUAUGACAUGAAAAAGUUUUAAAUAAGUAUAAUAAGAUAUCAAUAUAGAAUAGAAAUAAGUGUUGUCUCAAUGGUUGAGUGGCUGGCCAGUUAGUUAAAGACUUGGGUUCGAUCCUUGAUAAAGGUAGUAUUCAGAUUUCUUUUUUGAUUGGAUAUCUAGACUCGGAUUCAGAAAAAUCUUCAAAAAUCCAGAUCCAGAUUCAUAUCCUAAAAAUUUUGUGAUUACCUAUCAGAAUCUAGAUCCAAUCAGAUUCAAGAAUUUCUAUCUGAAUUCGAUUCGGACCGAAUACAAAAUGAUAAUAUCCGACUAGUUUUCAGCCCUAACAAACACCAACAUUAGCAUCCAUAUUUCUUCAAAAGUAUCAGGAUACAAAUCGAAUAUUAGGCAUAUCCAUAUUUGUUUUAAACAGAUAUGGACACACGUCAGGUAAUAGUUAUAUCCAUAUUUUCUCGAUCUAAAUAUGGAUAUGUAAGAUAUUCGUUGGAUAUAAAUCAAAUUUUGAGAAGAAAUCAAUAAUGAAAACUAACAUAAAUGAUAUAAUCAUAAAGGAUAGGAACGGAAUCCACUAACAAGAUCGUAGGCAAUGCACAAUAACCAGGUAGUGGUCCAAGGCCUAGCUAUUAAACUUGCAUGGAAACCAAUUUGGCCAAGGAUCUGGGUCACUGAUCUUACCAGAUUUGUAUUAAAAAUAUAAUGAAACAAAAAUUAUCUAAAUAAAAUAUAUGAUAUAAAAGUAUUAAAAAUUUUCUACAAUAAGUACUAUUGUUACUCUCUAAUUGCAGCAUAAAUAAAAAGAAUCAUGGGUUUAUAUUUUGAAAGAACCUUAAGAAAAAAAUAUAUACAAAUAUACAAAUAUGUUGAAGUUAUUGAUUUUUGUAAUAUUUUAAACAAAAAAGUCUUGAAAAUAUCAUAAAGAAUUAAACGAAGUUAUUCAUUUUUCAUAUUUUUAUCAAAGAAAAAAGAAAUAAGUUUUUAUAAAAAGAAAUAAUUAUUAAAAUAUGAAAUAUCACAACAUAUUUCAAAUGAGUAUAUUCGAUAACGUAAGUUUGAAGGUAUAAUAAUGACUUAUAUAACAAAACUGAAUGUCGUCAUCGUAGAUGAGUAGUUGUUAACAACUAAGAGGUCACCAGCUCAAUACCUUGUGCAAGUGCUAUGAAAAUGAUUUUUCCUUGAUAUAGUUAGUCUUUCAGGGUUUUUUUUAACCGGAUAUCCGAAUCCACAUCCGAUAUCCAGCAAAACUCAUAAGCAUGUACCAGGAUCCAAUCAAUUACAAGGAUUUCUACAAGAUUCCAAUCCAAACCAAUUUGGAGAUGGAUACGGUCGAAUAAUAUCCAAUCUAUUUUCAGCCCUAAGCAGUAGCAUGUCAUGGUUAAUUAAUAAAAGAUAAUCAUUAGUCUAAACUGAAAAUUCUGUGCAACCUAAUUAGGCAUCAUCCUGUCAGCUAACCUAUAAAAGAUACAUGUCUUGCAAAUACAAUCAACUAAUCUAAUCAAAAAAUUAUGUGCUAGCUUAAGUUGAAGAAAUUCAAAACUAUAGAGAACAAUAUACCACAACUCCUGGAAAAAUUCCAGGUGCCUUCAAGCUUCAAAAAAAGUUAAGAGACAUGAGCAUGGAAAAGACCAAGGAUGAGGCUCCAUUCAGUGAAGCAUGCUUGAUAUAACUUGCAAAAUACGACGAUGAGAAUAAAUCGUUUCUUAAAAUAGACAAAUAUAAAAAAAUAGAUCACAAUUCACAUAUGCAAGAAGCCAUUAUAAGCUAUGAAAAAUGAAUAGCAGUCUACAAGAAAUUAAAUUCUUCAUAAACAAAAGAACCAUUCUUAAACUAAAUAACAAUCUCUUGUAAAGUUUAGAAUAGUUGAAACAAAAGAAAAUAUUUGAUAUCUCAAGCAAUGUCUUGAUAUUCUACAUCGAGUAAUGUCUUUUUUCCCUCUACUUUUUCCCAAUUUCACAAUAACCACAAUAAUGAUACUUCCAGAAAAUCAUUUGACAAUCAAAAUCAAUCUACUAAAAAGAGUAAAAGAAUAAAUGAGGUUUAACCAGAGUUUUUUUUGGGUACAUACCAUUAAUUUUGGGGGCAAAGGUUAAAGUUGCAUGUUCCAUAGAUGUUUAUUUAGAUAUGAAAGAACACAAACUUCAAAUGGCAGAACGCUUUUAGCUUUACUGUCACAUAAAAAUUAAAACAAGCCUCUCCCCAUAUCUCUCCUAUCUUCCAACAAUAUAAUCUAUGCAAAAGUAAAAUAACAAAACCAACUGUGAUUAGGGUUAUGUCGGAUGGAACCUGGAUAUUGAGCCUAAGCAUGAAUUUGUUUGAAGGAGAUUCUUGCUCAGGCAAAAACUACCAAACAGCCCCAAGACAUAUAUGUAGCUUUUGGGACUUCAAUUAUGUUUCUCUAACAAAAUAGAACAGCCAACGAAGAAGAAAGCUUCCACCAAAAUCUUAAACCACAAAUCACCAACAAAGAAAAACUGCAAACCCAUGUUUCUCAUGAAAAAUAUAAACUACUAGUUACAAAGCAUAUGAAAACCUUUUAAACGGAAUAUAGUAGAGGAAAAACUCAAGGGACAAAUUGUAAAUUCCACCUUAAAGCAAUCAAACUGCAUUUUUUUUAAUGCCUAAUCUUGUUAACAAAUAAAAUCCCAAAUUGGCAACUGUCUAUCUUGUCUUCUGAAAUGAAUAAGACUGACCUUUUUACUGCACUUCCUUAAUUCUUUAUGAGAAUUAUACGUGUAUCCAGACAAUAUCAGAACUACCAAUGGACAUAGCCACAUCAACCAAGGCAGGACUAAAGAUCCUUACCAAAGUUUUGCAGGAACUAGAUUAAGAUGUGAGCAUAAUUUUAGAAGCUUGUAUCAGGGGUAGGAUACCUCAUGGUCCUCACGGAAAUAAACAUGUUCUACAUUUCUUUUCUUCAACUGAGGACCGAAUCCAGCUGACAAAGCAAAUUGUCGCAAUAUUUCAGGCCAUGUCAAGUAACUUAGGUGGCGCUGCCAGAUGCGUAUGUUGAAGCCCCAAGCAUAUGCCUACAAUGACAGUGGAAGUUGAAAAAUAAGGAGAUACAUUAAACACAAAUCAAUACUGAGAAAAGAAAGUACAGAGUGAGUGCAAAAUGCCAACACACCCCUUCAACAAUCUGUGGAUGACCUCCCCCUGUAUUAGCAGCACUAUUUUGGUUAGCUCCCAAUGCAAUAGCUGGAGUCCUUGCAACAUCCUCAAUAUCUUUAAUGACAGAUUUCAAUAGAGCAACAUGUAUCUCCCCCAGCAGUCUCGAGUCCUGGGAAAGCUUAAUGUUAGAUCAACAAAACCAAGACUGCUUACUUGAUUGGCAACUGGGAAACGAACUAGUAUCAUCUAGGAUCGACCACAUAUUUAUCCGAAUUAUAUAUUACACAAGCUCCUUGAAGAAGUUUGGCCUGACUAGAUGGUGGAUGAAGAUAAAUGCACUCCUUAUAGGGCUGGAAGUGGGCUGGGCAAUACCCCUACCCGAACCCAGCCCGAAUUUUUUUUUCAAGCUUCGAGUCGGGCUUAGGCCCGAAAAAUUUUAGAUAAUCCAGGCCUAAGCCCAGCCCUGAGGCCGGCCUGAACCCAAUCGGGCCGGCCGGAAUUAUCCAUUUGGGCCAAAAAUAGGUCCAGCCUGAAUUCGAUUAAAGUUUAAUAUUUCUUAAUAUUGCUUCACAAGAAAAUAAACUAAUUAAAAAUUAGUCUUUCUCCUAUAACACAAGUAUAAUACAUUACUUUCAACUAAAUCCAUUUUAAUAUGUCAUUUACUUUCUCAUUAUUCUCUCUAAAUAACUACAAAAAAAAAAAAUUGGCCUAAAUUCGGGCUCCAUUUCGGGCCUUGUUCGGGCUCGGGUCGGGCCCAGGCUAGGCCAAUGACAUACCCGAGCCGGGCCCGAAAAACAAAUGGAAUCUAUAUUUAAGCCCAAACCCAGUCUGAACUCUUUUGAGCCUAGCCCGAAGCAUGGUCCAAAGUCAAGCCGACCCGAGCCCAUUUAUAGCCCUAAGUCCUUAUCAAUAUAUAUGCCCUUUUAAAUAUUAUUUUUAAAGAGAGAGAGCUCUAAGGAAGUGCCUUCAUAAAAAGUAUUGCUCUUAACAGUUCACAAAAUCCACCACAAUGCCUCAAAAAACAUAUUUCCAAAUUUACAAUUUUAUCAACAUUUUCACUUCAUCUGGGAGAGCAUACAAACCCCCCAAAUUUUAAAUUUUGAAAACAUACUGCAUGGUAUAACAAGUGGUGCACAGAGCAGGUACAAGACACUAGUAGUCAUAUAUCUAUCUCUACAUAUAUACAAAGCUGAGUUUGAGCAUUGGGGCAUGAUGUGACAUUCCAGGAAGCUUAUUCCAGAUCCAAUAACUGGAAAAGAUGCUUCUACCAGUCUACAAGCAAAUAUAGAAAGCAUUAGAAUAUCAAUCACUGAAUAAAUCAGGUAUACGCAAUGGAAGACGGGUCUAUCUAGUCCAAAAACAAUAUAUCCAGACAAGAAUUGAUCUUUGUUAAUGUCAGCCUGAGUCUAGACUCAAGACUAAUCGCAGACCAAGCUGGUACCUUGCAACCUCCAUGCCCCUGACUUCCGACUUCCACAUUGUUUAUAGCAUUGGCACAACAGCAAAAUAAUUCCAGGAUGCAGAAAACAUGAGAUAACAAAGUUCAGAUGACUAAAAACAUAUGUAUAGAGGACUCACAUAAUCAUGGAGAGAUUGAACAAACUCGUCAAGAGUGAAUGGCCAAAGCCCAAGGACAUCAGCAAAAGUAAUUAAAAAUUUCCAAACCUGAAAUUGAUAGACAGUGGCAUUUAAUACGUGUUAGGAAAAAAUAACUCAUGAAUCAUAUAGCAUGAAAGCAUCAUAUUAAGUGUAUAUGGAAUUUUAGUAAAUCCAUACUAAUGAAAGCUAAAGAAAAUCACCACCUUUCUUAUAUGAUAAACAAAUCACACAUGUAAUCUAGCUUAUUAUGUCAGAUAUCCUAAGACAAAGGUACAUUCCAGCAACAAAAGAUGUUUUCUUCAAAACAAAGCCAUCAUAAGAGCAAUCGACCCGAACAUGAAAUAUUAAGCAAACAGAGGUAUAAUAGCCAGAUCAGAAAACGGUACCAUAAGAAGGUUCCCAAUGUUCUCUUCAGAAUCCAUCCAAGGUUGAAUUGCAAAAGGCCUUUUCAGUUGCACCGAUUUUGGCGGAAAUGAACUCAACAUAUCUGAAGCACAUAAAAGUGCUGAAUUACUGAUCAAAAUUCAUAAGAUUUUUCAUGAUGGAUUUUGAACAUCCUUCAAGUUGACCUUAAAUUAUAUAGCAGAAAGUAAAAAAAUGUUAAUCAUGCUUAUAAGUAAACAUUGUAACUUCACCAACAAAAAUCAAGUUUUCUAACUGAAACCAAUUUAUGUCAUUUCUCGAGCUUCAUGUUCCGUAGGCAAUAAAUGCACAAGGCAAUUCGCAGCUGAGCUGCAUGUCAUAUAAAAGAACAUACCUCUAAAUGAAUCUAGCAGCUGCAGAGUAUCACUGUCAAGUGAGAAAAUUGAGGACAAUCCUUUUCUUGAUGCAGCCAACUCCAUUAGUUCUAAGCGCUCGUCUUCAAUAAGCUCCAUAUAUUCUCUAGCAAGCCUGCGAGCUGUAGCCCUCUCAUUAGCAGCUUUAAGCCUUGCAGCCUCCUUCUCUCUUCGCAGUUCUUCUUUCUGCCUCAUCUUCUCAACCUGAACUCAUCCCCAAGAGAAACAUAUUAAUUUACUUUCAAAAAGGAAACUCAAAAGUCUAUACUGUUGAGAUACUUACUCUUCGGGUUUCUUUCUGCAAGUAUUUCUCCUUGCGCUCAAGUGCACGCCUUUGUUCCCUUUGAAAUCUCACUUCCUCUCUCUGUUUUUCACGCAUCAUCCUCUCUUCUUCCUUUCUUCUUUCACGGUCAUGCCUUUCCAUUUCCCUCCGCAUUUGUUCUUCUCUCUGUAGAUGAAAAGCUUUAAUUCAGUAAGCAGUUAAUGAAUGUCAUCAAAGACAAACAUUCAGAAAAAAUAGUGACACCUUUCUUCUCAAAAUAUCCUGUUUUUCAAGCUCUUUCCGUAUCCGCUUCUCAUGGGCUUCAACCUCCUUAGCAAUUCUUGCUUCUUCACUCUGCAUAUGUUGAGAGUUUACAUAAAAACAGAACCAACUUUAAAAAAAAGGAGAUCAGAAGAAGCUUGCUCACUAGAUCAUGCAUACCUUACGUUUCCUCUCCAUUCGAGAAGAAUCUUCAUCACAAAAAAUCCUCCUAUCAGAUGAUAAAUAUGAAUUUUCUAAUCCCAUGACUUGAUGAACACCAAAUUGACUGUCACCUGGAGCACUGGCAAAAGAGCUGCUGUGCUGAGUAGUCUCAUACUCUGAUGCAACUGCAGAAUAAAUUUGCUGCCUGCCUUGAUGAGACAAUAGGCUGGCACCCGACAUUUGACCUUGAAAAGUGUAACUAGGAGCCAGUUGUUCAUUUCCAUGCAAAUAUUGCGCUCCUGAAGUUAAAGAUUGCAUCCUGGUACCAGGAGCAUCCACUGAAGAAUCAUAGAAAUGAGAUUGAGGGACCCUGUCAUAUGUCUCUGAUCGGACACUUGGCUGCUCAGGUAGAAACUGAUAUUCAUGAAGAGCUCUUGGACCCAUCUGAGGAUGACCUACAUUAGAACCUCCAAUUGCCAGCUUCCUCUUCCCAUUAGAUGAAUUUGGCAUUAAACAAUGUUCUAUACUAGGCAAGAAAGUUGAUGCCUGCAAACAAAAGCCAGAGUAUUCCAAAUGUUGAAUGGAAUAUAUGAUUUCUCUUCUGCAAAAGAUAAAUCAAGACUCAUAAUGCUAGCCCAGAGAUUGUAGACAUAUCGAUACUAAAAGGUGUUAGGUUUGGAAAAGUUAAAUCAAAAGCCCAUCAAAUCAUAAAAUCAGGGAUGUAAACCAAAUGCCAAUUUGUCAAUAGCAGCAGAAUAUGAUAGAUGAUAGUGGCAAAAUAAAAAACCUUAAUCACCUUUGCAUCAUGCCUCUCAAACAUUUUACCAUCAUAAGGCCGCAGAGGUUGCUUCUGCUGCGACGGCAUUGCUGCAAAAGAAAAAAACAGAAUAAGUUGGAGAAUCUACAUAUAAUCACCAUCAGCAAUCAAUCAAAAUAUAAGUACAAUAUAAUAUCUAAUUGACAAGACUGAUUCACAAACUGCACACUCGCAACUCGUAAGAAACAGAGGACAUGAAUUCCGGGUGAGUGGCAUCAUCCACAAUUAUAUACUAAUACAAUUCGGCCUCUAUUUAUGACUUUCUUCUUUGGAAGACCACAAUAUAUAAACUGAAAAUUUAUAUAUUUUCUUUAACAAAAGAAGUCUGAGUUAAAACCUCAAAGCUAGUAUUUGAUGCUUAUUCAAGCCAAAAAAUGAAGAAAUCCACUAUUACACACCCCUUCUUCUCCAUUGGUUAUGAAGACAUUGAUAGUGUAUAAAUUCACUAGGAUGCCAGUGUGAAAACCACUAUUGUCAAUGCAUGCCUGGACAUGUCUAGUAUUUUUCAUCAAAUCAAAAGCUGAUUGUACUUAAAAAAAUAUCAAACUAAAAGGUGGACAACGCCAUGUAAUUUGCACACAAGCUUGAUGUCCCUUCUGCCCUCUUUAGAAACCAAGAAGAUAAAUGCUGCCAAUAUCUAUCUUGCAAAUCCAGAAACAAGAAUGAGCCAGAUCCUACCACAGACGAAUAUUUCAAGCCACCUUAACAAAGAUGUCUGUCGAAGUUGUAGUUCACAAACAAAGAACAUAAUAAGCAAUUACAACAAUGAUAAGAGGGCCUUUAGUUUCCUAGUAUAUCUGGAUUGCAAAAAAUCCCUUAAUGAAAUAGCUUAAGCAUAUACUAGCAAUUCUUCAUCAUGAUAGCAGUAAUGAUACUCAAUCUAAAAUGAACCUUUUAUUAAUCACUUUAUUCAGGUGCAGGAUUACUGAAGAGUGCAAGUUAUAUGGGACUUUCCAGUCCAAUAUAUCUGCACUGAUUUGACCAACAUGUCGAAAGCCACACAUAUGUACAUGUACAACUAUGUAUAUGUUCACAUGCAGCAUUAUAUAUAUGCUAUAUACCUGACUGCAAAAGCAUCCAAAAACAUGCAUACCUACAUAUAUAUGUAGGAGUUCCUGUUCCUGCAUGUAUGUAUAUCACCAAGAUUUGGCAUUUGGAGAAUGACAUGAAAAAAUAAAUUAUAUAGAUGUAAAUAUCAGACCCUCAUCCAUGGCAUGGAAUGAAUGCGGCCAGAGCUAAAUGCACUACAUUGGCCUAGAAACAGGAAAAAAUGAGCAUGUUUUCUCCCAUUUGAGGUCAAGGUAAUACACCAGGAACAUUAUGCACAAGGUACCUAGAUCCAAUUACAACAAGUUGAAUUAUGAAGCCAUAUACCAGAUGAUCUAAAGGGUUAUAAAUGUUAUUCAUCAAGAUACUGCAUCUUCUCCAUACUCAUCAUCAUAUAUUUAUGUUGUCUGCAAAAAAUCCUAAAAAGUGUAUUUCCUACUGAUUGCUAAUACUGGCAAUAAAUAACUUGUAAAAGAAUUUCACUCCCUCAUGAGGCCUCUAGUGACACCCAACUUGAUAAAAAGCAACCAACAAAUACAAAGGCAGCUCAUGGACUGCACAAACAACAUCACUCACAUUUUUUCCCUGAAAACUGGGACGAGUGGAAGCCUACCCAGUAUUGGGGUGACGGCAGGGUCAAACUUAAGUCUCUUGUAUCAAUAUAAGAGCCUUUAGCAACCCCACCAGGCAUCAUCCUCUAUCACUCACAUGCUUAGGUUCGGCCGACUUCAAUAUUUUUAAUUUAAAAAACAAACUGCAAUACAUCCAGCACACCAUAGUAAACAGCAUCAAACUGAUAUCAACUUGAUCACCAUAUGAAUCUGAUAAAUGGCCUCAUAUCAUGCAUUACAGAGCAUAUAAUAAGUUAGCGGCCUAAUAGACAAAUGAAGCUGCCAACCAUCAUGUGCCACCUCACACAUAAAAGUCAUAUUGACAAGCGACUAGUAUUAAUUAUGCAAACAAAAAAAACUAAUCCCUGCAUAACAUUUUCUUCAUCUUGCACAAUAAUGUCAAUGUUGCGUUUAUCGGUCUUUGCAAAUUGUCUACCAAAUAAAAAUCUUUUAAAUGAGUAAUCAACAGUUACCGAAUACUGUCAGACUUUCUCAUAUAUUUAUUUUUUUCUAUUUUUUAAUGAAUGUUUCCAGAAAAUUUCCUCUUUUCUAAUUUAUUUCUUUCCUUUAUUUCUUGCAAAAUUAGUUUGGAAGCCUACAAACAAGAUUUCCCACCUUUUUUGCUAGAGGGGCAUAUCAGAACAUUAUCUGAAAUAUGCUUGUGCCAUAUAAGAGAGAAGACAAACUUUCACAGACAAUAAUACAAUAAUUUUACUUUUGGCUAAAACCUAAAUACAUUUUUUGACAGCUACAUGUGACACAGAGCUUAGAUUUUCGUUUCCACUAUUAAGGGGCCAUGCCUUUUACAUCAUUCUUCAAGGAGUAGAUCAAAAACUUAGAGAAAACUGCAUCCACUUAGCAACCGUAACUAGACUAACCUGAAAUCUCAAAUCCGUCCAAAACCUUAAUGCCUUUUCAUGUAGUCAUGAGUCAUAUGUACCGGUGUAACAGACUCUUGAAAAUCCAUUACAUGGAAGGUAAUAUUUUUUGUAUGGACAAGUACCUAAUAUUUUGGUUCCUGGUCAUGUCAAACUGUUUUGUUGGCAAGCAUGAACCAGUACCAAUGCUUGUGUUCUUGAAAUUGACCAUAAAAAAUCAAAAGUUAAUUAUUAAGAAGUUUUAGUUUUAUCUUGCUGAACCAUAGUAGGAAAAAUAAAUAUUUUCUAACAAAAAUCAUAAGCAACUCAAGUGACCUGAGGACUCCAACUCUCUACAUAAUAUAUUUUAUACUAAAGAAAGGCGCUCAAGAGGAUAAGACUACAACAACUUACUCAGAAAAUGCAUGCAUUAGUACAACGUGAAAAAUUUUCAAUGGCUACAAGCAAACUCCUCAGAUACUUUACAGGUUGAAAUCAAAUGUCUGAAAAGCCCAACACAUCAGAGAAUUACCAUGUCUAGUGGACAAAACGUGAUAAUCCAAUGCAGCAAAUGAUUUAGCAGAAGUCAACACAAAGUAUGUUAAGUUCAAGUCAAAAGAAUAGAAUAAUUAAACUUAAAAGGAAACAAUGACAGAGCUGCACUUAAGAGAACAGAAAUAUCUAGUGCCAGCUUCCCACUAAAGCGGACCACAUGAAAAACCCUAAGCCACAUCUAUUUGCUAGACAAAUAUUUGCUGAUCCAAUAAAAAUAUGGAACAAGCAAAAUAAUAACCUAGCCAACAACCCUUAAUCCAGAUAUCUAUGGCUGGCUUUCUAAAUUAUUUUGCACCAAUAAUUCUUCUUACCAACCACAUACACCAUGACCACACAUUUCAAAACAUUCUAGACUCCCAUUGAUAUUGACCAAUGUCUUCCCAUCCUUUUCUUGACACUUUCGACUAAAAUAUGAAAUGCAUUGCCUAAUUAGGGCUCCUCGGACUCCUCUUAAACAUUUCUAUCUCCACUGGUUCUCCACCACUUCGUUCUCAAUUGCUGUAACCCACAAUCUUCCUCUAAAGUACACAAUUGCAGUCCCCUCAUUCUUGUUUUAUCAUGGAUCCACCCUUAGGUAAAAUCCCUGGUCUGCAACUUGCUCAUCUUUUGUUCUUUUUACCAGCCAACAUCAUGAAUAACACAUUGUGGAGCAUAUUCUUGUCUUAAAUUUAACCAAAAAAGGCCAACAUCAGAGCAUACAGCAACAAUGCAACAAACAAAAAGCACCUUCUCACUUCAUCAUGCAACCAGAAUAUCUUAUAAAGCAUACUCCUAAAGACAUGUAUGUAGAUGUUUAAAUGAAAGAGAUUAAUGAAGGAAAACAAAAAAAAGGAAAGAAAGAAAGAAAGAAAGUGGAGUACCUAUCAUCCAUAUUCGCAAUUAUCCAGACAUCAGAAUUAGGCCCGAAUAGAAAACUCACGUGAAACAUGAAUAUUUGUCGAGUAAAAUAAUGUAAACUAAUAGAGAAGGCAGGACCGCAUGACUGAAGGAUCCUAAGAUAAAUCUUUUGCAAGAUGCCUAUUUAUUUUAUCCAAAAAAUAAAAGAAAAAAAUACUUGCCAAGAGCAAGACCAUAUCACUAACAAGCCUUAUUACAAAUAUUUGGGCCAACUUUAUAAAAAUUUCUUCACCAAUCAUUCUUGUUAUUAACAUAUGCCACAAUCGCCUACAAAUCAUUUCUCCAAACUUCCAUCCAUGUUGGCCAUGAUCUUUAUAUCACCUUCUUUGGCACUUCAACAAAAAUAUGAAUCACACUGCUUAUGGAAACAGUUCAUGUCCUAUACCAUCUCUACCGGUGCUCCAUCAGUUCUCUAGUGCUUGAUUUUUGGUCAUUGCAACUUGUGCACUCUCCGAAUGCAGAUUUUGAUCCUACUAGAUCUCAUUUUAUCAGAAUCUAUCUCGACAUUAAAAUCUCCAACUUGCUUUGAUUCAUUUUAUAGCCCAAAACUAUAAUAGGCUAGAUAGAAUAUUGAGGACUAAAUUCUUGUUCCAGCCAAUCUCAUGUAACAGUAAUGCAACAACCAGAACCACCUAUCCCCUCAAUCAUCUGAACAGUGCACCUUAUAGAGUGUUCUCCAAAAGACCCAUUGAUAGGAUUCUAAGUAGGAUAAUAAAAGUAGAAAUAACAGAACUACACAACUAGAUACUGUAAUUUGGUGAAAUAACUAGCAGGAGCAGGAGCCCCUUUACCGCAAUCUAUUUCUCAUGCAUAAUAUCCUCGCCCUGCAUUGGAAAAUUUUUUUUGUUACAAGAAGACCACAAGAAAUAAGGAUACAACUACUAGAAAAGCUUCCUUUGCUACUACCAUCAAAUCUAAGAGUAUUAACAGAUAAGAAACUCCAUCAUGAAUCUAGGGCAAUUACAUGUCAAUAUCAGUGAAUUGAGAUAGACAUUAAAAUGAUGUAUUAAUAUACUAGACAAUCUAAAGAAACAAACUCUUAAAAAGUAUAAACUACGGUUAUGCUUAGUUAAACAUCUAGAACAAGUUGAAGUCCAUAAGCCAAAAAAUGUUCACAAAGGAACUAGCAGUUGCAGAUCAAAGAACUCAAAGCAGCAACUACGUUACCCAUCUCUAGCCCUCAUAGAAAUCUUAAAAAGAAUUGCCCAGUAAAGCGCUUCACAAAUAGCAUAUGCUACCAUCAUAGCUAGUAUAUCUGUACCUAUAGGUGCCCCAAAAGCACCAGGCGGCAAAGGAUCGAACUCCACACCAAGAAUGGGCCCAUCCUCCCUCAGCGGCUCCCCAAGCUGCGCUUCAACAGAAGCAAUCACACGGAGCUCCGCCACUGAGAGGGGCAGCGGUUGCACCAGCGACGGAUGGGGCGGUAGCAGCCCAGGUGGAGGCUCAUGGUAUCUCUUCCCAGCAGACGAGGUGUCCAACGCGAUCCUCGAGACAGCUGCAGCAGCUCGGGAGACGGCCUUCCUUGUCUCUCCACCACUCCCAAGCCCCCCUGCAAAGGGUUUCGAGCUCAACCCCGCCCCUGCAGCCCCUGACCCCAUCAUCACAUCACCCCCAGCCGCGGCAGGCGACAGCACCGGCGGCUGCGGCUCCUCCUCCUUCCGCUGCCUCUUCGCCGGCGGGAACUUUCGGUCCUUCAGCCUCCGGUGGCAGAACCACAUCUGCAGCUGCCGAUCCGAGAGCCCGGUCUUCGCCGACAGCUCCGCCCUCAGCGCCUCCGACGGGUACGUCUCCGCUGCCCCCAAACAAAAUCAAACCAAAUUAUAACAAAAAAAAAUCCCCACCCGAUCGAUCACUAAAACCCUGGAAUAAUCGUGCAAAAAAGAAUCAAAAAGGGAUCGAUCAACUGACCGGCAUAGGUUUUCUCAAGAACCUCCAAUUGGUACGGGCUCUUCAUCUUCCUCUUCGACGGUUUCGCGUCACCGCCCCCCGGCGUCGACGCCUGCUUCUUGCCCCCCUCCGGCGGAGGCUUCCCAUCGCUGCCCUCUCCGAUCUCCAUCCGCAGCAGACCAAGCCCUAGAAAGAGAAAAGGUGGAGAUUGGAGGCGAAUAGACCGAAGCUAGGUCUUCUGUUUUUGGGCGAGGAAGAACAAGAAAUAAGAGGACGAAUUCCUUCCCCGCAUUAAUUUAUACCACGCGGAGGCCAAAAAGAGAACGAUUAGGCGUGGAAAAAACCCCAAAAGACCAAAAAAGGGCGACGAGAUGUGUGGUGAGAUUCGGCGGAGAAUAAUAGUAAUAACAAUACCGAGAAGAAUAAUAACCCCACCGAAAAAAGUGAAGAACAAUAAGAACAAACAGAGCGGAUUAGAGAGAAGGGGGAGAUAAAGAGAUGGAGAGAAGAGAACGAGGCGGAGGAGGAGAUAACUAGAAUAAAAAAAUGAAGGAAUAAAAUAGUGAUUGGAUUGAAUUCGGCGUUGGGUUUGAGGUGGAUUAAGGAGGAACAGAGAAGGAGAGCAGCGGAUUGUUCCCAUCUAUUAUCUUCGCAAGAAAAAAAAGAAAGAGAGAGGACGUUGCGUGAUGUAAUGGGUGGGGUGAUUAUUUUUCCUUUUUUGUGGGAUUUUGGGGAAAAGUAAUGAUUUAAGAGAGAGGGGCUGUAGAGAGAAUCUUGGUAAUUCGGGAUGAUUGAAGAGAGAUGGGCGAAUUUCCUUCGUUUGAGGUUUUUCUUUUGAUUGUUGGGUCUCGGGUUUGUUCUCUUUCUGCCUCUACUAUUCUUUUCCGUGAUUCUCCUCUCUUUCAACGUGAAUUCUUUUGUUGGGAUGCGUCGUCUGUACGGAGGACUAAUCCAGGCCCCUGGUUCCCGGGAGUGGAGGCUUGGAUUCGAAGGGAUGGGCCCGGGUCUGCCAUGGGCCCAUAUGAAAACGAUGGAAUCGUGGACCCGGCUUUCACGUGGCCCGGGCGGCUUUCACCUCAGCAAGUAGUGUCGAUGUUUUGGACCUAAUCUCAAGCAAAAUAAGAAAGAGUGGCAUUUAACCCAUUUAUUUCAUUCUUUUAGCAAAAUGCUCAUUUGAAUACUUGAAUUUAAAUUACUUUUCGGAAGGACAAAAUAGAUAUUUCUAAAUAAUUGGUGUACAACCUUUUAUCUUCCAAAUUUAUUUAUCCUAAUUAAGUCGAGAAUAAAAUACUUGGUCAUAUAGAGUGGAUUAAUUUAUUCCGGAGUAAAUUAUUCCGCUUCUAAAUACAACCUUAAUAUUUCAAACUUAAUUUGAUACAACUGAAUUUUCUAUUGAAAUUUCUCUAACCGAACCUAACUUCAAUUUAAGCUGAAUUUAGAUUCGAUCAAUUAGUGACGGGUUGAAUUGGGUUCCAUUUCUUUUAAGGGGGGUUAGGGAUCUAGUAGAUUGGGCUAAGUUGGUUUAUAUAAGAAUUUUAAGAUUGAAACAUGCGAGUUAUUUUUAUUUUCUCGAUAUCAGAUUGAUUAGUAUUAGUAGAGUACGUUUAUGCAGUUUUAUUGCUUGAAUUCAGUGGUUGCACAUUGCCUUAAUGGUAUUGGAUGAAGUUAAAGACAUAUUCUGGCCCAACCCAACCAAGGAACUGCUCCAUAAAUAUUAUAUAAAAUAUGGAAAGUGAAUUCUCACUGCAAGUUCCUAUGCAGUGUAUUAGUUAUAAAACAAGCUCGAAUUCCAUUAUUCCAUAUAGUUACGAACUUGCCAAUUUUGUGGUCGCCAUAUGAAGUGUGCAAUAUAAAACUUCACAACAGACCCCUAUGCAGUUUAUUAUUUAUAAUAAGGCUCAUAUUUUGUAUUUCCAUUUGGUGACUCUAGAACCAUUUCUUGGUUACUGUAUAGGUCAUGAAAAAUGAAAUUUGAUAAAGGGUCCAUCCAUAAUCGCAUUAAAUUCUGAACUUUGUGUUUGGUAUUGGUCAUUGACUAACCAUUUGGUCAUCACUAUAUUAAACAUGAAAAAAAAAAUUGAUAAUAAAUCCCUUUAUGGUACAUUGACUAUACUAGAUUUCAGAUUCAUGUGAAUAGUGAUCAUAGAAUUAUUCCAUGAAAUACAGCAAAACAAAUUUUGAAAACUAUUCCCUCCAUAAUUUAUUAUUUGUAUAAAGUCACAAAUUUUAGGUUUUAUGAUAUAACUAUAGAAUAUUAAAAAUAAAAUUUGAUAUUGAGUCUCUUCACUGUUCAUUGGUUACAUUAAGAAUCAGAUUUCAUAUUCCCAUGUAGGGACUGUACAAUUAUUUUGUGGAAAAACAUGAAAUGGAUUUUUAGUAAAAAGACUUUCCCUAUAAUUUGCAUAGAUUUGGUGCCCUCUAACUUGGUCACUUCCGGCAUAUGAGCAGCAAUGGUAGCUCUUCCAUCAUUGUCAGCUGCACUACUUCUCUUUGUGAAAUUGCUUGUGGUACUAAACACAUGUUUUCACGGAUCCUCACAUACUCUUCUCAUUCAAGCCUUGACAUUCUUGUCGGGCUAAGGGUUCAAAUCAAUUUAAAUCUAAUCACAACACCACGAUCGACCCAUGGUCAGCCCCAAUGGAUCCAUGCUGCAGUGUUUGUUAGUCGACAUAAGUCAUAGGUCGGGUCCAUUCUGAUAUCAUUUGUAAUAAGCGAGGACCUCAUCCAAAAUGGCUAGUUGGAAUGUAUUAUUUCGGUUCUUGAUCUUGUAUAAAUAUCCAAGAUUUAUCAAACAAAUAAUCGAUGUGGAAGUGGGACUAUACACACACUUGCACGAAUUCUUAUAGUAAAUAUGAUUAAUCUUCAAUAAAAAGCCAGGUGGCUCCUUUUGCCUCCCCAUCAACAUCAAAAAAAAAAAAAAAAGAAGAAGAAGAAGAAGAAGAAGUUAGACUGCUCCAAUCCAUGGCCUAUGCCGGUCUGAUCGUUUGGAUUUAGGAUUGGAGAUGUUCGACGAAAUGGGUCAAAGAGGCAUCGAGCCGAAUAAGAUCACCUAUAUCUCACUGGCGGAUGACCUAUCUAAGGGACGGCGGUAGCCGAAGGCCACGGCUAUGCUUGAUCGGAUGGUUGUGGAGUGUUGCCCACCAAAUACCAUCUCGUAUAGCUUUCCCAUCAAUGGGCUGAUGGUCUUGGAUAGGAUGAGGCUCCAGGGAAGGAAGGCAGGUGCCGGAUUUUAUGGAAGCUCAUCAAGGGAUUGUGUGAUUCUGGCCAGUUUCAGGAGGCUACAGACUACUUGGACGAAAUGGUGCUUAGUGGGAUUUCGCCAAACCAUGUGAGAUGAAGUCUCCAUGCCAGAUUUCAUAAAAUGGUGGUUGCGGGGCUGUGCGCAAAGAGCCAAUCAACCCGGUUUUUUCAGGUAUAUCAGAGCAUGAGAACUUGGAGAAUUUCUACCGAGCCAGAGAAAUUCCAUUUUCUAGUGGAGUGUUUCGGCAAGAAGGGUGAUGUGCACAAAGCUGCACGAAUUGCUAGUGAGAUGCUGCUCCGUACCUAAUCAGGACACAGAGGAGCAACCUGGUUAUUGGAUACUGGGAAUGGAGAAGGUCCAGGAAGCAGCUGAAGUUCUACGGGGUCAGCUGGUUGUGGAUUAGUCUCUCAGGUCCACAGGAGCAAUCUGAGCCUGUAUUGUGCCCACCAUGGAGGCUGUGAUGCUUCCCACCAGGAAAAGUUUUGGAUUUUUAAGCCAUCUGGUCAUUAUAUCUGAAUUCAUAUCGCAUGACGCGGACGGCAAAAGGUGUGACAUCUUGGAUUUCUAUUUCAUGAUUGAAGUUUGAUCCUUAUGCAAGAAAAUUUGUUAGAUCAUAUGUUAGAUGACAAUUUGCUGUCAGGAAUCCACUAAACUGUGACCAUCUUCAGGAUCCCCAUGCCUACUUCAAGGUAUAUCAUUCUAUGGCUUCACAUCUCUUGUGAUAUCAUAAUUCCUUUGCAUCUAGAUUCUAGACACAUGGCCCUUUACCUUAAAAUUUCUUUAAAUAUUAGUAGAUAUGAUCAUUAAUAAUUAUUUUAGCUUUACAUUAUCCACUAACAAGGGGAUAGUGCAAUCAGAUUGUUAAGGAAAUGUUAUUAUUUCAUACCUUUUAGUGAUUUCUACUUUGCAGAAUGAGUAUAUAAAGCUCCUUUUGUGAAUAUAAAAGAUUUUUUUUUUGUGGGGUGGUGAUGGGACGGUUUAUACGUUAUUACUGUAACUAAACAAAUCUUUAAAAAAAUGUCAUAACUUAUAGAAGCGGCAUGCUAACAUGAUUUACAUGCAACAAUCUACGUUUGAUGAUAGCAAAACGAAAUAUCUAUCCAGAAGUCAUAUUAAUACUAGGAAAUUAGGAUUCUGAGCACCCAAGAUUGUUUAAGAUUCAUUGAGAUGCAAUGUUACAUGCUAGAUCACUUAAACACAGCUACCUGUCUUUACCGACUUCUUGGAUUUUAUUAUUUUAAUUUAGGAAAUUCAUUAUAUGUUCCAUCUAGAUGCUCGAGGAAUGAAGAUCCCUAAGAUCCCUAGACUACUUAGAACGCGUGGAUAUAUGGCAAGUUGGAUUGGAUAUGUUUUAAGCACAUCAAGAUCCUUUGAAGGAUUCAUAUAUGAGUUACGCCAAAUGACAAAUUUUAUGGGAACUUGAUGUAGUUUUUGAUUUUUGAGAUCUCAAUGACUUUUCUGGAUAGAUACUAGGGUGUUUUUUUCUUCAUUCCUAAAUCUCUUUCCUUAUGUUUUUGAAAGUAUGCAUUUUCGACUUGUAUUUAAAAACAAAUCACAUCUGUUACUUUUCUGAUGCUAAUUCUUUAUAUUACAUUCACCUUCAGUCGUGUGCUAUUAGGGACAUUAAGGUUUUCUGGUGGAAUAUGUGGAGUUACAAUAACUUAAAGAAUUCGCAGAUCUUCUCAUUUAAGAGCAAGCAGGAUGUAUCGAAAUCUAUGUAUGAAGAAUGAGGAUUAGGAUAGGCAGCAAGUUUAAGUGAGUCUAGGCAAGGCUUGACUAUUAGGAGCAAUGCCUACUGUAAAAAUUUCAACUUUCACUAAAAAAAGGUCAUAAUAUGUGGAUAGAUAUCUCUCUAGUGGCCAAGGUUGUCAUGGUAGUCAGUGGAUUGUAGGCAUUAGGGACCCGUCUGCACUUUCUUGGUGCCUUAGGCAGUUAGGCUGUUUGUGCCGGAUUAAACAAAGUUUAAAGUCAAAAGAGAAAAUGAGCAACCAUUUAGUUCUUUCAGUGAAAAAAUAAUUGGGGCAAGAAACAGGAAAGGAAAAAGAAAAAAGAGAAAAAAGGAAGACAAAUAAGAAAAGGAUAAAUUUGAAAGUAAGGGAACAAGGGAAUAGCCAUACAAGUUUAAUUGCAAAAAUGUAGAAAAGAGGGGAAGACCAAGAGGAGUAGUAUUUUCGAGAAGAGAAAAAAGAGAAAGGAGAAAGAGAUAGCAGGAUAUGAAGAGAGGAAGCAGGCAAGAAAAGUAAGAAGAGGAAGAAAAUACUCAUCCUGGCCAAUGAGCUCUUUGAUGAUAUCACCGAAGACAUGUCAUUGUUCCUAGUCAUUUUUUCCGCUUCUAAUUGGCUAUGCAUGCAUUCCUUCACAUACAGCUAAUUUUAGGUUCUUUAACACAUUUAGCUCUUUAUCUAUAGAUUCAUGGUUCCCCAUAUCGAAUGUAGUCCUAUGACCAUAGAUAACUUAAUAGUGCUAUUGCCUUAGAUCAAGAUACUUCCUAACUGUAGAACCCAUCAACAUCAGCCUUAUGGAUUUUCGAAGCAGCGCCUGCCUGCAAAUAACUUGUAGAGAGAUUCCUCUCUUUGCUGUUAUCUGUAAUUUUGUGUAUUUCUUUGCCAUAAUGUUCUGGCAUCUGAACUUGGUAUUGGAAUUCUGUUACCUUUGUUGAUACUCACCUUAGUUGCAUUUUUCUAAGAUGUAAUGCAGAAAAGAACCUAAUGGAUGGUUACAUAAUCUGGCUGCAAAAGAGAAGGUGAAGACCACAACCUGAAAUCUUGGACUGCCAACUAUGAUUGACAAGUCUUUUCUUUCUCAGGCCGAUUUUCAUCAAAUGGAAAAGUCAACAUAUAUAGGUGUACAUUUUUGUAACUUUCUGGAAUGUUUUUUGCAAUGCUUUAAAAAAUAGCAUGCUUCCUGAGAAUAUAUACUUUAAAAAAUGCCAAUCCAUUUAAAAAAUGCACGAGCAAUUUGCCACAUUUUUGCCACAUUCUAUGAAUUUGCGAUAUACUUACCAUGCAAAAGUAAAAGAAAAAUAUACUGACUGGGCAAUUUUGUUAAAGACAUUCUUCUGAACUUUUCUUAAUUUAUUGCAUGGGAUACCUGAUUUGCUGCAACUUAAUUUCAUAAUAUCUAUUAAUAUCGUUUUGGAUUAUCAAAAGAAAGAAUAAACUGAAUACUCUUCUCAGAGUAAAUCAUGGAAGUUCCAUUACCAAGAAGACAUAAUGUCCAACAAGUAGAUUUUCAGAAUGCUUCUUCAUAACUUCUCUACCACUACCAGCUGUCUUUAAACAGUAAAUGUAUGAACACAGUGCUGUUUGCUAUGUUAAAUUAUACAUCCUACUCUCCAUAAGGGCUUUCAUAAUGGAUGACUGCACUUGCAGCAAAAGAACACGGAAGAACAGAGAGUUGGAACAACUGACAUCACUGGGAAGAGAGUGGAAAGCCGAUUCCAUGGCGCCUGGUGGGGAAAGCAACAAAAAGCAUACUGCCAAAAAUUCCGAUACCGAUCGGCAGUGAAGCGAGAACCUGCUUCAUCUCCUCAGAUGGGGUUGGAUAAAGGCAUGACACCACAUUCCGGUCAAGCAAAGAAACCGCUACAAAAACCAGUAUCGACAUGAAUGCAUGGACAAAAUCUAUGAGCUUAAUCCUGUAGUUAACUGCAACCUGUGGAGGAAGGGGUGCAGUUCCGUCAAUGACCCACAAGCCCCUGAAUGUUGCCAGCCCAUGCCGAACCUUGCCAGACUCGUCCCGGAAGCUAUCCGUGAAGCUCAGGAUGAAGCAUGACAGUCCACAGAGAGCCACGAGGCCUGCGGUCAUAUUCCAGCUUUUGGCAUUGCAGCGGCCUUGGUUGGUGAAGAUGGGAGACAGGAGCUGGAAGGCAAGAACAGUGCCAGUAGGUAGGAGGUUUGCAAGAUGGGCGGUGCUCUUGAAGGUUUUUCUGAUUGCUUUCCGUUUAGGAGUCUUGCGGUCGCUGUUGGAUGAUUUUGGGAUCAAGAGAGGUUCCUCCUGCUGCUGCUGAGCUUCUUUAUCACACAUGUUUUCUUCCAUCAUCGCAUAUCUUUUCUGCACUCUUCACCACGCAUCUGCAACAUGCAGGGAAGGAAAGGGAAAUGAGAGGAGGAUGAAGGGUGGUGGAAGGGAGGAUGUGUUUGUACGUAAUAUGGCUCGCGAGGAAGAGGAAGCGAAACUGAAAUGGAUGAGAAGCAAACGUUUUACAAGAAUCGUGGAGGGGUUUUGGUUACUUGUUUGAGGUGGCCAUAAAUUUUCCCAUAACAAUUGCUUAUUUUGAGUAAUGGCCUUUGUGACAUGGGUAACAGAAAUCCAGAGAAAAAUGCCGGAGAAAGAGGCCUCUACUCGUUCCAGUUUGUUUCGGACGCUGUUGCCAGAAUAUCCGCAAGAUAACUAGAUAAGGGACACACGUAUUUCAGGCAAGAGAGCUAGCGGGUUUUAUAUUAAUGGCUUUAUAAGAUUGCAGGCCGAAGGCAUUGGCGAUUACUUAUGCCUAUCUUCACCUGAAGCCCUUCAGGUGAUGGUACAUUAUUUUAUGGUGCACGUAAAUAUUAAUUUGUGCCAUUCUUUGAUCAUCAUCUAUUCGAUUGGUUGUGUUCCGGCUAAUAUGCAUUAAUUGGCUUGUAACUCAUGAAAGCUAUAUACGUUACACUAUUUGAUCAAUUUAAUAGGUGAUUCAAGUAAUUGCGGACUUUAGGGGCUGUCUCAUGGCUGUUAUGGACAACUUCUAAUAAGUGAUUUGGCUUUAGGGGCCUUCUUCUAAACCCUAGCUACCUGCUUGCCCAUCGCCAGCCAGUGCCGGCUCGAGCCUUAGGCGACCGAGGCGGUCGCCUAAGGCCCCCGGCCGAGGGAAGGCCCCCACCGACGGCCACUUUUUUUUUAUUGUUUAAUUAGGGUGGGUGAUGGACGAGUAGACGACGGAUGUGAAAGGAUAGGGGGCUUGGGGCUGGGCAGUGGGCAGUGGCGAUGGCAUCUGGCAGACGGCUGAGACGGGGAGGGGACUGGGCGAUGGCUACCGAGCUCCGCCCGUACGCCGCUACACGGCUACAGUGCGUCCCUUCGGCGUCUUCCCGAUUUUAAGCUCGGCUCUCAGUCCUCUCCAGCUCUCCUCGCCGGCUCGCCGACGUCGCCGUCCUCGGCUCCUCGGCCUCCUCCCGUCCUCCGGCCUCCUCGGGCCUCGGCUCCGCUCGACCGCUCGGACGGUCCGCUCCACGGUCCACCAUCUCCUCCUCCUCUGCUUUCGUUCGUGCUGCCUGCAGCCUGCCUGCCUCCUCCUCGGCUCCGAGGUCCGAGCUCCGGCCUCCUCAGCUUCAGCCUCCGGCCUCCCGUCCUCUCCUCUCCAGCUCUCCUCGCCGAGUCGCCAUCCUCGGCUAGUCGGCUCCUCCGGCCUCCGGGCUCCGCGGCGACCGAGGCCUCCCGGCUCCCGACUCUCGACUCCCGACUUCCGACCUCCGACUUCCGGCCCCCGGGCUCCGCGGCGACCGAGGCCUCCCGGCUCUUCUCGUCGUCCUCGGCAGUCGGCUCAUCCGGCUCCGAGUCUUCGACUUCCUCCCGGCCCAGGGAAGGCCCCCACCCACCGACCCACGAUCACGGGUCGGUUGACUCGGUUCCCAGAGGCCACAGUCCCACUCCCACUUCCCAAGUUCCCAGUUGGCCAGUUCCCACUGAUCCCAUUCCCAGGCACCGACAGUGAGGCAGGACUGACAGGUGAGUUAGUUACUUAGUUUAUUAAUUAAUUUUUGGUCCAAUUAAUUUUUAUUUAGUUAAGUAAUUAAUUUAGAAUUGGUUAUUUUUUGGUCCAAUUGUAGAUUGGUUGUGACUUCAGCAGUUCGGCGCUAUUCGGUCUCUUCUCGUCGUCCAGUUCGGCACUAUUAAUUCCACCUCUUCUCGACACAAUUAAGUUCGGCACUACUUGUCGGAGCCCGAGUUUGUUUUUCUUGACACAAUUAAGUUUUAUCAUUUUUAACUUUUUUAUAUUUUGAUUUGUUUGUGGUGUUUUUUUAAUUGUUUAGUUUGAUAAUAUUAUUUAUAGAUUAAAAUGUCUAAUAGAAAAUAUGACUGUGGGUAUGAAAAACUCAAAAAAAAAAGAAAAAUUGAUAAACUCAUUCAAUCUCAAAAAGGAGCUCUAGAUAGAUUUGUUGUUACAAACAAACAUAACACUACAUCAAAUUCAACUCAAGAAUUAGCAAUAGAUAGUAUUUUAAUGGAUCUUGAGUAUAAAAGUUUAAUUAGUAAUUUUGCUUCUCAAAAAGCUAGACGAAUUAUUUUUAAAUAAAAAUUUUAAAAUAUUUUUAUAUUUAUUUUAAAAAAUUUUAUUUAAAUAAUAAUAAAAAAGGUCUCUUCUAAUGAGUUCGCCUAAGGCUCCCAAAUGUAUUGGGCCGCCCCUGUCGCCAGCCACUGGGUCUUCUGUAUCUCAACGUAGUUCUAUCAUAGUUCUGAGUAGGCUAUGCGCCCUGUCUCUAUCGGUCUAUCCAUACGACUCUGUAAUUGGCUGGGGCUUUCCUUGCACCAUCAAUAAAACUGCCUCUUUCACCCCACCCCCCAAACCCAAGAAGAAGGAAGAAGAAGAUAUGAAGCUGAAGAUCUUGGGGUGUAUGACCAAAUAAAAGGGCCACAGCCACCACAAGAAAAAAAACUUUUUAAGACCUUUACCGACACUUAUAAAGGUCGAUAAAGAGCUUUCCAAAGUUUUCUAAAGCGUCGCUUAUGUAAGAGUAGAAAAAAAUAAUUGCCGACGCUUUUAAAAAGUAUCGACGCUUUUAGAAGCGUCGGCAUUCUUUGUUGUUAAAAAAAGUUUACCGACGCUUCUAUCUAGCAUCAGUAAUAUAGAGUCGACAAUUAUAGUUUUUGUUGUAGUGAACCUUGGUGGCCUCCUCUUUGUCAUGUGUGAGAUAAAUCGGAAAUAAAUAAUCCGAAUGUACUGGGUUAACCUUCAAAAUUUGAUAUUUAAAACAGCAGCAGGCCAAUUGCAGCACUAAUUCAUGAAUAAAUCAUGAACAAAAUUUAUUGAUAGAUAGAUGAUAUGAAAAAUGAUUCAGCAGUUAUGAAGAUUAUUUCCUAGCUGGUCAUCAAUUCUCUGGUGACCAUGGUUUGCACUGCCAUAAUAAUUAAUUAUAUGGCUCCUCAUUAACGACUCAUUUGGUUCGCGAAAAAGGAAGAGAAAGAAAGUGUGCAACUGAAAAAAAUGAAUAAAGACCUCUUGUUUGGUUAGAAUUUUUAAAGAAGAAAAAUGAAAAUGUAGCAUUCUAAUGAGAAUAAGAUUUUCAUAUUUUAUAAAAAAGAAAAAACUCAUGAGGGACAUAAAAAAACUAUUUUUCUGCUAGUUAAAAAUUGAGAUUUUUUUUAUAAAAAAAAUACUCUUCAGCCAUAAAAAUUUAUAAAUUAGGUCUUUUUCUGUAUUAAGGAUAUAUUAGAUAUUUUACACAAUUUUCUCCGUAAAGUAAAUAAUGAACUAAAUAUGAAUCUACCACUUUUUUAAGAUCAAUCAGAUAUAUUAAAAUUAUUUUUUCAUACAUCAUAUUUUUAAAAAUCAAAUUUUUUUAAAAAAAUAUUUUUUUCCCCGAAUCAAACAAGUUUUGAGUUGCCCAACUUCCACGUCCUGUCGUUUUAUGCUUGGCCUCCAGAAGCUCUCCAACAAAGUCGCCGUUCAGUGGGUUGGUGCACCAAUUAAUCCACCAUUACUCAUAGACAAAGUCCUCUCGCUACCUUCCAUCCUAAACAAAAAGCUUAUGACCACGUUGGUUAUAACAAACCAGAAUAAAAAGCUCUAAUCGGAAGCUCAACCCCCCUCACCAAAUCGUACACAAAUUCAUCAUCUUUUACCCAACAGAAAAGCUUCGUCUUCCUACUUCUUUUAUGGAGACAUAUCCCCGCCCCCCAUUGUUUUUUUAUCAAAAAACAAGAAAAAGAGAAGAAUGCUACCAUGAGUGAUCACCAUAUCUCCGCCAUCGGCCAAGACUUCCUUGUUGUUAUCAUCUGCAUCGCUCUCCUCAUCCUCUCUGCCAUCCUAUUCAUCCUCUGCAAGAAGCGCCAUGCUGUCGACCCCGACGACACCAGCCUUCCUGCUGCAUUGCACGCCCACUCCCAUCCACUGAGCGAUAUCGAGGCCGCCACCGACGGAUUUCAUCUGUCCCAAAUCGUUGGCAAAGGCCACCUUGGGACUGUCUACAAGGCUAUCUCAGCGACAGGCGACGUCUUCGCCGUGAAACGCAUCCACCCCCACCUUGUCCUCGGCAACCCCGGCGUCAGCUUCUCCUCGAGGAUCAGGUCGCUCUCCUUUGCCAACCAUCCUAACGUCGUCCCCAUCGUAGGCUUCUCCGAGGCACCGGGCGAGCGGGUCAUCAUCUCCGAGUUUGUGGGCAUGAAGAGCCUCGAAUACUACCUGCAUGGGAUGACCGGCGACGGCGGGCCGCCACCAGAGGCGUUAAACUGGGGGCUUCGGCUAAGGAUUGCGGCAGGGGCAGCGCGGGGCCUCGAGCACCUUCACGAGGGGAGUGCACCUAGCGUCGUGCAUGGGUGCAUUAAGCCUAGCAACGUCAUGAUCGACGCCAACUUUGGUGCUAGGGUUUGUGACUAUGGGCUCACUUUCUUGAUGGGGCCUAGCGAGAGAAGGGGGAUGUUGGGGUAUGUGGAUGAUGGGGAGGGGUGGGGUGUGUGCAAGGAGAAUGAUGUGUAUGGAUUUGGGGUGGUGUUACUGGAACUGUUGAGUGGCAGGAGGAGCGAAGGGGGGGUGAUGGUUGAGUGGGCUUUGCCUUUGAUAAGGGAAGGAAAGGUGGGGGAGGUGUUGGAGAAGAGAGUAGGGGUGCCGAUGGACAUGAAGCCAUUGGCAAGGAUGGCGAAGGUGGCCUCGGCGUGCGUUGGUAAUGGGAGGAAGAGUCGGCCUUCGAUGUCUCAUGUGGCGGCCAUUUUGAGCAGCUUGGAAAUGCAUCCUUAUGUCUAAAGGGUUUGGGAGAUUUUUGAGGGAAUAGAGAAAAAUGACCAUGGCCUGAUAUCCUCUCUUCUUUUUUGGGGGGCUGAACCAGAGUGAGACGGCCAUCGAAGGUAAGUCCUCCCAUCAUUUCCUGAAUGACUGAAAUUUGUGGAAAUCCAGUGUACUGUAACCAUGGUUAGGGAAUGUGAAUUAUAAACAUGCAGCCAUUUUUUUCAUGCUAAAAACAGGUAGCUAGACUAAACUAUUUUAGAUGAAACGGACUGAAAUUUUGCAUCAAUAACUCUCGUAAUGUUUAUUUGAGCCUGUCCCAUCCCGACCUUUGCCUAAUAUCUCAUGCUUAAGUCCGGCUCUAGAAUGCCUUCUAAAGUCUGGCGGUCAGUACUGGUUUUAGUUGUUAUUUUUUCUCCAUUUUUAGGUGAUGUCUCAGAUUAUUAAAAUUGAUCAUUUGUAGGAUGACUGGGAUUUUCCAAACAACCACGAAUCGUGUUAUAAAGUAAUUGUCCCAGGCCAGGAGGAUUAAAAUAGGUCUUUACUAAACUAAUGUAUAUAUGAGCCUGGGCCAUUGGUUAAGCCCUAUGGCCCAUGCCCAAGUUUGGGCUAGAUUAUUCAUGGGCCGUCUAUAUUGGUCCAGCUAGCUUGUAACUCCUACUAGGGCAUGAAGCAAAUCAAGUCAAGAUCCUUAGGCACAGAUUAACCAUUUAGAUUGACCAUGAGCAGGUUGCGAAGACAGUCACGGAACCCAACCAUCUGCAAUUAAGACCUACUACUUAUGAUCAUGAUCUUUGCAUGACUAGGUUUGGACUGUGGGCCGAGGGGUUCCAACCAUCUAGCAUGGGUUCCAUUUAGCCCUGAAAAUUGGCCCAAUCUUUGUGUCACAUAGCGACAACAAAAUGGAGAUGUACAAUGGCCGCUUUGAGAUCUAUGCAAGUGGGUGAACGAAGAAGUUUGGAGUGCUUUUAGAUCCAUGCAAAGCAUAAUCCGAUAGACAAUAUCAUGAAAGAAGAAAUUAUUCUUUCAUGUGAAAGAUACAACCCAAACCCAUUGUCGCAAGAAUUUUGGUUAGCAGCCAAUUUGUUGCUAAAAAGAAAAGGUCACAUAUCCUAAAGCGCUUCUAUCUUUUGUCCUUUUUCUUUUUAUUUGAUAGCAUGUUAUCUCUAUUAAAUUUCUUUUGCUCGUGAUCAUCACGGGAAUAGAUGCACAAAACCUGGCAUCAAAGAGUCCUUCAUGAUUGACUGCCCUAAAGCGCUUCUUUUAAGUUUUCACUGCAUCUUUACGUGCAAUUGCCAAAUCUCCUUUAGGUAUUGUCGCAUUGACACGCUACUGAUCAUCCUUCUAAAAAAGACAUUGGCACACUAGUCGCUUAUGUUAGCGGACAGGAUUUGAAUGUGUGCAAAGAAAUAUGACAAAAGAACAUAAUUAAGCUAUUGUGACGACUAGAACAUAUAAUAUGUAUCCUUCAAGAUUCAAACUAUGAUCUCAGUUUCUGGAGGUACAUGCAAAAAGAAAGCAGGAGAUUGAAGACUAAGCAAAGGAGCCAAUGCGAUGAGGGGGAUGGAGAUGUAACCAUAACUAAUGCUUUUGGUCAGAAUUCUCUUCCUCAAUUUCCAUAGGGCUUGUUCAUUCCUAUUGUGAAGCAAUCAGUUCAGUGGCCGCAAAUGAAUUGGAUGUGUCCUUCGAACCAAAAUAUAUGAACCCAAGAAAUGAUUUGAUUAUUCCGAUUUAUUUCCAUUAAGUCAAGGUUGUUGCAAAUAAAACAAGGAAUUUACAAUUUUGGGGUUUUGUUUUGGUAUAACUAAUCAUAGCCCUUGAAGGCUCGAAUCAAAAUCAUUGUAUCCCAAUUUACAUCUUCCCAAUUGAAGCAACACUGUUUCAAUUUAUCUUUCAAUCUGCCCUAGCUAAUGCUUGAUGAAAAAAUUCAUGAUCUUUUCUAAAAAUUUUGCCCAUCUCGUCCCAUAGUUCUAACUCCAACAAAAUUUUUUGAUAUUGUUUUGUCUCGAAAGCUGCUUUACAAAUAUGUGCAGGUGAAAAUCACCCAAAUACAGUGCACUUUGCAAAUAGGUUUCUCGCACUCCUCAAAUUGACUUUGCUAAAAAAUUCUGACUGUUUUUCACUUGCUUUGAUAGAUUUUUUAUUUUUAAUUUUAAAAAUAUGAUGGAAAUGCCACCUAUCAUGUUCUAGCACAGAACAUCUCUCCAACAGGGCUAGCUCCUUUAAUGUGUUUGCUUUGAUUUUUAUCUAAACAUAUGUUGCUUAGACGAAACAAUUAGUAUAACCUUGCCCUAUGACAAUCCACCAAAAUUUUUCUCUUUAUUUUUGUAGCGAAUUAGAUAACCAUCCAAGCAACUAAAUAAGAUCAUAAAAUUCGAUUACUAUUUUUGAUAAAAGCAGUCACUAAACUCAAAUUUUCAAGAAUCCACCAUUUUCUAACUUGACCUAAAGACUUAAUUGCACAUCAGAAUCUAUAUAUGGAUAAUGGGACAUGGUACGACUUAUUUAAAUUUUUUUAAAAAAAAUCUUAACAGGCAAAGUUGGCUUUAACAUGACAACUCAUGAAGCUCUCCCUGUCUUAGAGAAAACUAAGCAACACCAUCAUUUAUUUUAGGUGAUUUUGUACUUUUUUUCCUUUUUUUGCAAUUGUCAAACUUAUAGAUAUAGGUCAACUUUCUUCUCUUUCUUUCUUUUUUUUUUUUAGAUUCUGACUUUCUUGGACCACUAUACAAAUUUGUCUUUUUUGGUAGAAAAUUUUCCUAGCUUGGUUGAUGCCCACAUAUUGUGAAUACAUGUAAACAUGAUAUAGGUUGAUCCACAAUGGCAAAUGUGAAAAGCAGUAUAAAGGCAAGGAUAUAAUGGCCUGCUAAAAUUCAAAAAAGGAUAGUUUCUUCUUUUUUUAAAAAAAGAGAGAAAAGAUGCUUUCCUUUUCUGUAUAUUGGAUUAUUAAAUAUAUUUUUUGCUGAAUUCCUUCUAUUUUAUACAAGUAAACGUAGAAGACAUCUUGUAUCACGGUCGCAAACAAGGGAAUGUGGCCCCACUUUAGCAUGCUUCUUCCCCCAGAAAAAGCCAUCGCACUCCCAUCUCACCAGAUGCCCGAAGUCACGAAUGGAUGCAAAACCAAUUGCACCGUUAAACUUUAACAAUCCAGUCCGGUUCCUACACCUGUCCUUAUCCCCUUCUUCUCGUCCAACCAAUACACAGCCUUGCCCCCAUCUAAGUAUCUAACCCCGGUCAAACCUUCUUCUUCCAAUCAAGCUCACACCUGAUUCUCCCACACAAGUCUCCAACCACGAGCCAUGCCUUGUGGGAUUCAAACUUGUCGGCAUGGCUUGCAUGACAAGCCACAACACACAUUGAACCUCACGAAACUAAUAAAGAGAAAGAAGAACAGAAAUAAUUCUUAUCAUUAAUAACUAGGAAGUCCGAUUCAGCCCCGCCUUCUUUGAUAGCAAAAAUCUCAAAUAUUCUCCAUAGUAAUGGUUUUUGGUUGCACGUACUGCAGCAACUAUCUAGUCUAUCGAAAGCUAAAUUGAAUCAAAGACCAGUCUGAUAUGAAGCUGAACUUAACUCCUAACUAUCAGCCGGGUGCGAUCCUCUCCUCAUCAUAUUGCCUAUUGUUUCAUCUACCUACCAUUUCAUCCCUAUCUCCAUUGACUCUCAUAUAUAUACUUUUCUCACAUAUUUAAUAAAUUAGAUGGCUCAGCCUCCCCUUACCUCAAAAAAAAAGAAAAAGAGAGGGAUCAGAGAUUUAUAUCAUGUAUAAAGAUAGAUAACAAAGAGUGCAAUAUAUUAAGGUUAUAGAGAGAUCAGGUUAGUGGCUAUAUGUCUUCCAAGGCACUCUACAGUGACCUUGGAGCUACAAGGCUCACCUUCUCUCUCUCUCUCUCUCGGUCUCAUCCAUCUAACCAUCUCUCUCAGGGUGGUGAAAUGUCUCUUACGAAGCAGGUUGCCCCAUCUCUACUCAAGCCAUUCUUUCUGUUGGUUUUUUAACUUAUUAAAGAUUUUGAAAGGAAAAAGAAAAAAAGUGUGCUAGAGAGGUUACAUGUCUCCUCCUGCACGUAUAAUAGCAAUUAUAGCAUGACCAUACUUGAGGAUGAAGCAACCUAUUUAUAUUAGCCGGGCUUGUUCUGUCUUUUUCUUUUUUUUCUUUAUAUUCUUGGUUUUGUUAGAUGGUUGGAGGGGUAUUAGGAGGGGGUUUUCUUGUCUUCUGUUUUCUCUCCACCUGAACACCCUGGGGAAUGAUGAGCAAAAGUGGAGAAGAAUUCUAUUCCUUCCCAAAGCUCAAGGAGAAUUGAGGGAGGGGUUGGGGAAGAGAGGACACCCGUAGCUUUAAUAUAUAAGAGAGAGACAGGCUUCUUUCUUCUUUUCCUUUUCCAUUCUUUUCUUUUCUUUUAUCCUUUUCUUUCCCUCCCCAGUCUUUACGUAUCCCUCUUCUCCGUCCUCUUGCCUGCCCUCCAAGGAGAGGUUUUAAGCUGGGUGGGUAUGAGAGUUGAGGAAGAAAGAUGAGAUGGUGCAACAGCUGCGACGAUGAUCGCAUGAUCGAGAGGAGCUCGGGUUCUUCGUCUGCACCGAUCGGCAAGAAAUGUCACGCAAACGCGAUCGAGACCUGCCCUUCUUGUGGCCACCACAUCCAAUACGAGGAGCAGGUGAGGCUGCCUUUCUCCUUUCUUCUCAAGAAUUCCAUAUUUUUUUCCGAAUAUUUUCUCCAUAAAUUUGUUGCAUGGUGGUGACACGUAUCAUGAUUCAUGUCUCUUCUGUUCAUAAAUUAUAUUAGGGUAUUCAUGGAAUCUUAUGAUAUCUUCUUGUUUCUCAAAUUAAAUAAAUUAAAAAAGGAUUCUCUUUUUUUGAUGAAAAAAAAGAAGAAUUAUGUUAUUUAAAAACAUGGAGGAACAAGAAAACAACAUAUAUAUGAUGAGUGAUAUUGGCAAUGGAUGUGGUCAGGCUGCGGCUGCUGCCAUCCAAGAUUUGCCUGGGCUGCCUGCUGGUGUCAAGUUCGAUCCGACCGACCAGGAGCUUCUCGAGCACUUGGAGGGGAAGGCGAGGCCAGAUUCACAAAAGCUUCACCCUCUCAUCGACGAGUUUAUUCCUACAAUUGAAGGCGAGAAUGGGAUUUGCUAUACCCACCCAGAGAAACUCCCCGGUAAUGAUCUCGAAAUAAUUCUUUAAAAUCUCUUGGCCUACGAUUUCAUAUAGUAAUUAUUAUAUUAGUCAUAUUUUUACGAUAUGAAUACUGCUAUUCAUCUUCAUGCAUGCUUCAACAAGCUCGCGCGUACGUGCUUGAGCACUGCUGCAUGCUAUAUACAAAGGGAAUAAUUUAUUGCACACUAGCUUUGCCAUGUGUGAUAACAUCAUACCAAUGAAUUGGUGCCAAAAAUGCAUUGUGGAGCACUCGAAAUCUAGAAGCCGAAAAUUUGGUCCUGAUUCACAAAAUAAGAUUAAUUAUGUUCUGCGUUUGAGAAGUCUUCAAAGAUAAUCAUGUUUUUCAUGAUGAUGAUGAAUAGCAGAAGAAGAAAUUUUUGCAUUUAUCGUUCUCAAAAUUCUGUGAAAUAGCAUAAAAGAUGUGAGCCUUCAAUUUAAAGGCCUAUGAUAUACUUUAGCACCAGAGCAUAACUAUGGUAGUUGUUGCGUGGAAGCAAUAAAUUAAUUUUCAGCAUGCUAUGAAUUCAUAGGACUUGCAUGCAUAAAUUGGAUAGCUAGAAUUCCAAGCCAUCAGGAACCAUAUUUUCUUAUCAUAGAAAUAUUAGACAUUAGGGUUGCUUUGAGUUUCAUAAAAGAAUAUAACGGAACUAUAUUCUUCUUGGUUUUAAAAAUCAUAUUUUUCAAAUUAUAUGAAGUAUUUUGAGCAAUAAGUUGCAUGAUGCAUAAGCUAACCAAAAUGGAUUUUGUAUAUUGGGCUUUUUCUAAUGGUCACAGCUCUCUCUCUUUCUCUCUCUCCCCUCUUAGAAGCCAAAGGUUUCAUAUUUGAGUUUUAGUAUGUGUAUCUUCAAAAAUUUGGACCUCGAUAAUUUUAGGGCGAGUAGAUUUCUCUCUCUUUCUCUAAAAGAUAAAAAUAAACACUUCAAAAGGCUCGGUUGUUGAUGUGUUAAGCCAUGUACAUGAAAAUUAUCAGCUAGGCUGGUCUUCAU
This 55286-nucleotide long non-coding RNA is filed under the name Phoenix dactylifera (date palm). RNAcentral describes it as "long non-coding RNA (PDAC_LNC003108)". Lineage: Eukaryota; Viridiplantae; Streptophyta; Magnoliopsida; Arecales; Arecaceae. The record is from RNAcentral.